Molecule: long non-coding RNA, 81826 nt
Filed under: Lathyrus oleraceus (garden pea)
Lineage: Eukaryota; Viridiplantae; Streptophyta; Magnoliopsida; Fabales; Fabaceae
Description: Pisum sativum (pea) long non-coding RNA (PSAT_LNC032211)
Source: RNAcentral
AUGGUAUGAUUUUUUAAUUCUUUUUUCUUUUUUAACAUUUUUAAUGAAUUUUAAUUUUUAACAGGUUUUUAUGUGAAUUAAAUAUAUAUUUUUUAUUUUAGUUUAUAAAUGAAAUCAUAAUAAUCACUAAAAUCAUACACAAAUUAGAAUGAGGUUCUUAACGUUCAAUAUCGAUAUUUUUAUCUCUUGAAUUAAGAUUGUAGGUACAAUAAUAUUUUAUAUAUCUCAUAAAUAAAACAAAAUUUUAUUUUGAGUAGAAAAUAUAUUAAAAUAAAAGUAGAACAGAUUAGAUUGUGGAAGGAGUGGACAUUACAGACUAGCUAAGAUUUCGUAGGGACUACACAUGUGAAUAUGUUGGACAAAAGAAAAGAUUUUCUCUUUCAAUUCAUAGAUUUUCUUAAGAAAAAGAUUUUUUUUUUUAAAUUUUAAUUUGCUUAUUAUAUUAUAUAUUUUGAUAACAUGCAAAUAUGAAAAAUUGAGUUAAUGUUUUUAAUCAUAAAUAUUUUUUUUAGGAUAUGCUUGUAGCUGCAACAGAUACCUCAUCAGCCACAUUAAUUUGGUUUAUGCUUGCGCUAAUAAAAAACCCAAGAGUAAUGAAAAAGGUACAAGAAGAAAUUAGGAGUGUGGGAAUUUUUUUUAGGAUAUGCUUGUAGCUGCAACAGAUACCUCAUCAGCCACAUUAAUUUGGUUUAUGCUUGCGCUAAUAAAAAACCCAAGAGUAAUGAAAAAGGUACAAGAAGAAAUUAGGAGUGUGGGAAGAAAAAAAGAUUUUAUUAAUGAAGAUGAUAUUAAAAAUUUUCCUUAUUUAAAAGCAGCGAUUAAAGAAACAUUAAGAAUGAAUCUACCAUCUCCAUUGCUUGUGCAAAGAGAAGCACGUGAAAAGUGUACUUUAAGUGGAUACGAAAUUCCAGCCAAGACAAUAUUGUAUGUGAAUGCUUGGGCUAUUCAGAGAGACCCUAAUUUUUGGAAAAAUCCUGACGAAUUUUAUCCCGAGAGAUUCCUAGAAAGUUCUUUAGAAAGUUCUAUAAAUUUUACUGGACAAGAUUUUGAACUAAUACCUUUUGGAGCUGGUCGUAGAAUUUGUCCUGGUAUAACCAUGGGAGUUGCUUUCUUGGAACUUGUUCUUGCUAAUCUUCUCUAUUCAUUUGAUUGGGGAUUGCCAGAUGGGUUAAAAAAGGAAGAUAUUGAUUAUGAAAUGUUGCCAGGGAUCACUCAACACAAGAAGAAUCCUCUUUGUCUUGUUGCUAAAAUUCCUAUGUAAUGCAUCUCUUUAGAGUAACUUUGUUUGUUUAUCGUUUAAUAUGUUAUGUUUAUUGGGUUUUUUGUAUUGUGUUUUGUUGGUUUAUCGUUUAAUAGGUUAUGUUUAUUGGGAUUUUUGUAUUGUGUUAUCUUUAAAUUUUUAAAUAAAAGCAUUAUUUAGUUUUUAUGCUUCAACCAAUUUAUGUUUUAGAGCAUUAUUGCACUAUAUCUAUAAGCAUAUGAUUUUACCAAUUUGUAUAAAAGUAGGUGUGGCAAUGAAGUCGCUUGCUGUCCAUUUUUAUCAUGUUCAUGACAUAAGUUAGUUUUUCCGUCAACUGAUCCAUGUCCCAAAGAGAUAUCAAUUUUCCUUUCUUACAUCGGUCUCUACCACAUAUAUAUCUUACAUCUGUCUCUACCAUAUAUAAGUAGGUAACUUUUCCUAAUGUUAGAUUACUCCCUUGGUAGCAAGAUGAGACAACUCAUCAAUGAUGAGUUUCAACAUGAGAGAUAUACUCAAUCCAGAGAAUGGUUUUUUAAAAAAAAUUCAAAACCCGAAUUAGCUCAAUUUAAAGAUGAGUACUACACUCAAAUGAACCUUGGGCAAGAUUUAAUUCCUUUUGUGAAAUGGUUUGUUAACUAUUUCAUAAGUAAAAAAAAGAAGAAAUCCUUGUUUUACAAAGACCUUGAGAAAAUGUUAGAGGAGAGAAAAUGGAAGCUCGUUUUUCCCCCCUGAACAAACGAUAAGUUUGAGUCAAAAUACUGAAGCUACCCCUUAACUUAACCUUUAGUUACAAAGAGUUGAACAAAAUCAAGUUACUCUUAAGGAAUUAAAUUCCGUCAUCAGGUCUCAGAAUUAUACCAAUGCUUAUCUUGUUUGCUUAGGAGAACAAAUUAUCUCUAUGGAAAAAGAUCUAUUAUCCAUAAAAAAUCUUUUAGAAAAACAAAUAGCACGUCAAGAUAUCAUUAUUGACAUCAUAAAUAAACCUAAGGACCAGAUGUCCACAUCCACUAUUUCGGAUGUUCCUAUAGUUCAACCUCCUGUUUCCAUAGAGGGAUUUAAAAUGGAAACCGAAGGUCAAGAAUUUGUUCGUAUUUUAGAACAAAAGUUAAAAGGUCUUAAGAUCACAGUUAUGUCCCAUGAAGAUUAUUCUGAGGAUAAUAACGAAAACCAUAUUGACCAAUUAUCUGAUAUGUUUGCUAAUUUAGACAUUAGUAACCUUGACAUUAAUAAUACUAAUAAUAUAAACCCUGUUUAUUCUCCUAGACCUAUAGAAAAGUAUUAUUACAAAUGCCCCUCACCGUAAGAUUUGCUCUUUGAGGAACUUGAACCAUUCCAGAAUUCUUAUUCAGGAAAAGCCAUUUAUGACUGGAGUGUUGAUAGUCUUAAUGACAAAUAGAUUAUAGAUAUAGUCCAUAGGAUGAUCAUGUAUUCUACUGUUUGCAAGCAACAUGAAAAUUCAUAUAGUUCUAUAGCAUCCUUUAUAACCACGGGAUUUGUUGGCCAACUUAGAGGCUGGUGGGAUCAUUGUCAUACCCUAAAUUUUUCCCCACCUAAAGGCAUUCAUUUACAUUUCAAGCAUUUGUAUUUAUCAACUUGCAUCCACUCAUUGACAUAAAUUUCAUUUUAAUGGCAUUUAUUUAAUUUCAUUAGAAUUUUUUAAUUUCAUUGACAUAAAUUUCCCCACUUAAAUUUCAUUUUAAUGGCAUUUAUUUAAUUUUAUUAGAAUUUUUUUCUUCAUUUACCAUGCCAUUCAUAUAAUUUUUCUUUCCAUGCAUCCAUUUGGCUUUGAUUUGCAUUUUUUAAAUUCAAUUAAUUUGGAUUUUAUUUGGACCUAUUUGGUUUUGAUCUUUGUUGCUAGAUUUUUUAACAUAAUUCUUUCAUGGUUUGAAAAUAUAAGUAAUUAGGUUGGUUUGAGAUUUUGAACUAAGUGACAAAGGAUGUAAUUAAGUCAAGAAUUAAAAAAAAGGGGAUAAUCUUAGUCAUGAUAAUUUAUUUGAUUCUAUUAAUUGGAUUUAAGAAAAUAUUUGGUCACAUUUAAUAAAUAAAUAUCAUUUCUUUAUCUUAAAAUUAAAAAAAAAGUAGUCACAUUUAAUUUCACUUUGUCUUCUACAUCACAAAUAAAUAAAAAGAUUUCAAAAAAAAUAUAAAUAUAAGUUUUUACAUUAUAAUAAGGUAGUUUUUACAGUAACAAACUACAUUAAAAAAAGAGAAUAAGUACAAAAAAAAAGUUGAUCUCUCAAGGCUUGAAUUGACUAGGCCAUGCUACCAUCUCUACACCUUAACCAUAGUACACUUGUGGAGCAAAAUUUUGUCUUGUACCUGCAGUAAAACAGAGCAUCAAGUUAACACCAUUUUAGAAUAAGAGACAAAGCAAAGAGCCAAAAUAUGAAGAAAGCAAAUACAGGCUAUCACAAUUUCAAAUAUAACAGAGGUUUAUACUAGUUGAUCAAAACAAACUCUCACACUUCAAAAGUAACCAACUGCAUAUCCAAUUAUGUCAAUGAACAUCAACUACUGCAAAUCCUAAUCCAAAGCAUAGGAAAUCAGUAUAAAUUGGAGCUCUUUUCUUAAAGAAAGGGGAGGAAAAAAAUUAAGAAAAACGUUUGAGAUAAAGAGUUAUAAAACCACCAAAGAUCAGAUAAGAAAAAGACUAAGAACCUUCAAACAAACUAGCAACCAUCAAGAAUAAAAAAUUCCCAGCAGUCACACCAAAAAGCUAGUUAAAAAACCAUAGCAGUCGGAAAAACCUCAUCCACAAAAGACAGUCUUUCAUUUCAGAGGAAAUAAAAAUCGUCCAAAAAGAAGUUGAAGUGGACUAAAGGAGAGAGAGAGAUCCAUAAACGUUUACCUUCGAGGUUGGUAAGAGAACCUCGCCGGAGUCUCAAAACUCUGUCGAGGUCGUUUUCGCCUCUGUCUUCGUGUAUUACAUUCUUUCCCUUACUACUUAUUACUUGUCUCACAUUGAAUGGAGGUCUUUUUUUGUGUUUAGGUCGUUAAUUGGUAAUUCGUUAGGUUAGGGUUUUAGUUCUCUCUCGAUUCGGAAGAAUAGUUGUUUUUUUGUUAUUUUAGAGGACGAAUUCAAAAUCUACAACAAAAAUUGGUGGGGGGUCGUGUUUAGGUCUUAGGGUUUUGAGUUGAAGAGCCGCUAUAGAAGGCGGCGGCGCCGCCGGCCACCGCUAUGCUCUGGUGAGAAUGGUUGGAUGGAGUCUGAUUUGAUUUCUCUCUCUUUUCUUUUAAUAACCUUUGAGAGAGAGGAACCAACUAAGCAUGAGGGAGAAAGAGGAAAUAUUUAGUGAUAGGAUUCUUACUGACUUUAAUUCCCCUUCUUUACAUUUAUUUUAUUUCAAUAUCAUUUAUACGGUAAUAAAAGAAAAUCUUAGUACACAUAAAUAAAAGUUUGUUGGAAAAUGGUCUUUUUAAUAUCACUAAAUGUUGGUUGUUUAUUUACAUGAGGAUAACAUUUAUUGCUUGGUCUUUUUUGCUAAGAUUUCUAGGAGAGAAUACGUGUGUGACAGAAGGAAGAGAUGAGGCAACUAAACUCACCUUCUAUCUUGGUUAUCUCUUUUAAUUUUAGGGUUUUGUUUGGGCCUGGAAUGUUGGACUUUGUCAUUUUUCCUUUUGUAUAUGACACUGCGAGCCCAAUUCGCUCCAUUGGGCUGCCACUUUGGGCUUUUCCUCUGCUAUAUGCCCCCCAUUUGUUCUUUGAAACCCAGGUCCAUUUCUUUUUUUUGUUUGUUUGAUUUUGUUAAAAAAAUUAAAAAUAGAUUAUUUUUUUAUUAUUAAAAAAGAAAUUAAUUUUGAGUUUUAAAAAAAUUUUAAAAAAUAAAUUUUCUUAGUUUAUUUUAAUAUUUUAAUUACUAUUUGGAUAAUACAUUUAGUUUUGGUUUCUCUCUCUCUCUCUCUCUCUCUCUCUCUCUCUCUCUAUAUAUAUAUAUAUAUAUAUAUAUAUAUAUAUAUAUAUAUAUAUAUAUAUNNNNNNNNNNNNNNNNNNNNNNNNNNNNNNNNNNNNNNNNNNNNNNNNNNNNNNNNNNNNNNNNNNNNNNNNNNNNNNNNNNNNNNNNNNNNNNNNNNNNNNNNNNNNNNNNNNNNNNNNNNNNNNNNNNNNNNNNNNNNNNNNNNNNNNNNNNNNNNNNNNNNNNNNNNNNNNNNNNNNNNNNNNNNNNNNNNNNNNNNNNNNNNNNNNNNNNNNNNNNNNNNNNNNNNNNNNNNNNNNNNNNNNNNNNNNNNNNNNNNNNNNNNNNNNNNNNNNNNNNNNNNNNNNNNNNNNNNNNNNNNNNNNNNNNNNNNNNNNNNNNNNNNNNNNNNNNNNNNNNNNNNNNNNNNNNNNNNNNNNNNNNNNNNNNNNNNNNNNNNNNNNNNNNNNNNNNNNNNNNNNNNNNNNNNNNNNNNNNNNNNNNNNNNNNNNNNNNNNNNNNNNNNNNNNNNNNNNNNNNNNNNNNNNNNNNNNNNNNNNNNNNNNNNNNNNNNNNNNNNNNNNNNNNNNNNNNNNNNNNNNNNNNNNNNNNNNNNNNNNNNNNNNNNNNNNNNNNNNNNNNNNNNNNNNNNNNNNNNNNNNNNNNNNNNNNNNNNNNNNNNNNNNNNNNNNNNNNNNNNNNNNNNNNNNNNNNNNNNNNNNNNNNNNNNNNNNNNNNNNNNNNNNNNNNNNNNNNNNNNNNNNNNNNNNNNNNNNNNNNNNNNNNNNNNNNNNNNNNNNNNNNNNNNNNNNNNNNNNNNNNNNNNNNNNNNNNNNNNNNNNNNNNNNNNNNNNNNNNNNNNNNNNNNNNNNNNNNNNNNNNNNNNNNNNNNNNNNNNNNNNNNNNNNNNNNNNNNNNNNNNNNNNNNNNNNNNNNNNNNNNNNNNNNNNNNNNNNNNNNNNNNNNNNNNNNNNNNNNNNNNNNNNNNNNNNNNNNNNNNNNNNNNNNNNNNNNNNNNNNNNNNNNNNNNNNNNNNNNNNNNNNNNNNNNNNNNNNNNNCCAUUUAUUUUAUUUUAGUUUGAGAUCAUGUUAUAAAAAUCAUUAAAAAUUAAUUUAGUUAUUUUCAUCAUUAGUUUUAGAUCAUGUUAUAAAAAUUAUUAAAAAUAUUAACUUAGUUGUUUUCAUCAUUAUUUUUAGAUUGUUAUAAGAAAUAUUAAAAAAAGUUAAUUUAGUUACUUUAAUUAUUAUUUUUAGAUUGUGUUAUAAGAAUUUUUUAUAUUUUUUAAAAUAGUUAAUUUAUUUAUUUUCAUUAUAAUUUAAAAUUAUGUUAUAAGAAAUAUUAAAAAAGGGUUAAUUUAGUUAUAUUUAUGUUUAGAUUAUGUUAGAAAAAAAUAAAAUAAAAUAAAUUUAUGUUUAAUUUAUUUUCUUUGGCUAUUAUUUUAGUUAGAUUUUAAAGAGAACAAAAAGUAUUUAAUUGUUUUAUUAUCAGACUUUUUAAAAAAAAAAUAUGCAUAUGUCUAAUAUUAAGUUGAUCUUAUUUUCUCACUUUAUUUUACUAGACAUAAAAAGAAUAUAAUAGUAUUUUUCUCCAACUUUAUUUCUUGCUAUUUUAUCUAAAUGUUUGAAUAACUAUAGAAUUAUUAUUUUUCCAAAUAAUAUCGUUUUCUUUGUAGUUUUAUUUAUUAUUGUUAGAAUGUUAUGAAUAAAUAAUUAUAUAAAUAUCUAGUAAUGAUGUUGACUAAUUAAUAAAAUAAAAUACUUAUGACUACUUUGUUAAACUUUGAUCCUACCCCAAGUUAUACAUUUUAAUCUAAUUUAUUUAUUUCUUAUCCCAAUUAAAACGCUUUACUAUUUAAGUUAAAAUAUUAAAACAUUUUUUUAAUAACUCAAAAGAAGUGGACUAUUGGAAUCUAGCAUUCAUGUAGGAACCCUUGAAUGAUCUGUCUUGAACCACACGUUUUGGAUUAAGUGUUCAUUCUUUUUAAAACACAUUAAUUAACUUGGACAAAUAAGGGCCCUUGGGAUCUCGCAUUCUGAUGUAACCCUUUGAGCAAUUGAUUCUUAUCAAGCGUUCGUUGUCCAUCAAACAAAUUUCUCAACUAAUUCGAAUGAAAAAGGACCAUUGGAAUCUAGCAUUCCGGUGGAACCCCGAGUGAUUGAUCCCGAGGCUCAUGUCUCGUUCUCAUCAAAUAUUCGUCAUUCACCUAUAAAAUACGUCCAACACAUCAAACUCUUUUCUCGCCGCCGUGCAAUUAAUCUGAAAAACCUUUUCAUAAACAAAAGACAUAUUGUCUUAAGAUGAUGUGAAACAAUGUUUCGUCCACAAUUGUUGAGUUGAGAUAAGCGACGUUUUUCCGAAUGUUGAUUCGUAAAUCCAUUCGAUGUGUGGUAUAUGUCCUCUCCUCAUCUGUUUUUGGUAAAACAAUGAUUUCGUCGAUUAACACAAUAUAGCUUUCGCUAAAAUCGACCAAUAAACAAAUAUUUUUCUACCUAAAACUACGUAAGCCUUGAGUUCUCUAUUGAGAUACAUAGGAGCAGGAUUGCGAAAUCUUGUCAGGCCCAUUAAUAAAAAACUUAGGUUUAGUCCCCUUCUUUGCAAAAAUCCAAAAACAUUCUUCUCUCUUCUAUUCUUUCUUUCCCACCUAAUAACUCGUGAAGCCUAACAUUUCUAAGCUAACACUAACGUGCAUAAUUAACCUAAUGGUUUCCGUUGAGUACAACGGACGUGAGGGGUGCUAAUACCUUCCCCUUGCGUAAUCGACUCCCGAACCCUGAUAUUGGUUGCGAUGACUGUAUCUUAUCCUUUCUUUUAGAGGUUUUAUUGAUAUUUUCCAUUUCCCUACUUGGGAAUAAAUAAAGUUCGGUGGCGACUCUGUUUAGUCCAUCAUGCGAGCGUGCGAUUGCGCUUCGUUUAAGUCGUGUUCUCAUUUUUCAAGGUGCGACAGAGGCGUCUCUGUUCAGUCCAUCAUGCGAUUGUGCGAUUGCGCCUCGCUUAAGUCGUGUUCUCAUUUUUCGAGGUGCGACAAUCAUUACCUCACCGAAUCUCAGAAAUUAGAAAUUCUUAAUCAUAAGAAAAUCAUUAAGAUCGAGCCAGGAACUAGUAGAAGCACUACUUUGGCUACGACUACCACGGGAGAAGAAGAUGUAGUGUAUACUAUGUGUCUCUCCAUCUUACAGCAUUUUGUAGGAACCAAUGUCCCUAUUGGAGAAAAAAUCUAGACACUUCUCCAAAACCUUAGGUGUCCUUCUCUUACCCACUUUAGAUGGUAUAAGAAUAUUUUUCUUUCAAGAGUUUAUCAAUUAAACAAUCCCAAUUCUUUGCAUUGGAAAGCAAAAUUUAUUGAUGGAUUACCUCAUUUCUUUUCUGAAAAGGUUAGACAAUCUUUAAGACAGAAAAAUGAUGGGAUAAAUAUAAAUUAUUCUGACCUUACUUAUGGUCAUAUAAUUAGCACUGGUGUUAAUGAAGGAUUACCUUUAUGUAAUGACAUAAAGCUUAAAAAUCAACUUAAAAAGCAAAAGCUUUCGGAGAAACAUCAACUUGGUGAAUUUUGCGAACAAUUUGCUUUUGAUCUUGGAAAAUCUCCAGAUAAUAAUAAGAAGAAAAAAGGAAACAUUUUCCGCAAUAAACCUUAUAAGGAUAAGUCAAAAAAUUCUUAUAAAAAUUCUUAUAAAAAUAAGAAAAAGGGUCACUACAAUAAAGGUAGACCUAAAGAAAAAUCUUUUGACCCUAAAGGUAAAAGAAAAGCCAAAAAGCUUGAAAUAACGUGUCAUAAAUGUGGCGAAUAUGGUCAUUAUGCCAACCAAUGUUGGACUAAAAAAGCGCUUAAUGAGAUAGAAGAUGAACAAUUGCGUUCUCAAUUAGAAAAAGUUUUACUUCUCAUUUUUGAUUCUGAAAAUUAUUCUUCAGAAGAGGAUAUUAAUAUGAUUUAUGAAUCCUCUACUGAAUGCUCUUCUGAAUAUUCUGACAGUAAUGAUUAUCAAUAUAAUCAAUUAGAUUACUGGAAAUCAAUUGUUGAUAUGAAUGGGUUAAAUGUUUUAACCUCAGAACAAGACGAAGCUAUAAAACCUAUAGAAUUUAUUUCUAAUAAAGAACUAAAAAGAAAAAUGCUUGAGGUCUUAAUACAAGAAAACUCUAAAAAAGAUUUUCCUGUUAUUAUAGAAGCACCUUACCAAUUAAGUGAGGUUUUGUCUAGAUUUCGACAGUCUAACAUCCGUGAAACUCCUGCUUCUAUUAUGGAUUUAAAUAGAGAAAUAAAUCUCUUAAAUAAUGCGAUAUCUCAGAUUAAAAGAGAAAACUAUGGUUUAUCUCAAAGACUCACUCUGUUAGAAUCUAGUAAUUCCAAGAUUGAAGAGAUAUCUUUAACUAGUAAUCAUUCACAUAGUAUUGAAUUCGUUUCUCUCAUUAAUAGAGUGACCUCUCAAAAAUGGUUUGUUAGAAUAACUUUAGUUAUUAAUAGAAAUUUCAUAUUAGAAAAUGAAGUUGCCCUUAUUGAUAGUGGCGCUGAUUUAAACUGCCUUCAAUAAGAAAGGAAUUAUUAUCCACUAAAUACAAUUAGAAUAAAUCCUCAAAUACUUAUACCACAAGCUGGAGGAGAGAAACUUCAGCGUAUAAUUAUAAAAGUUGUUAAUGCUAUAAUUUAGUAAAUAAAGAUAUUAUAGUUUACCUACUCAUUUAUCUGGGAUAAAAUAACUAGGAAAUCAUUAAUAUAGAAACUACCUGUUUCAUGGCAUAAAUUAAUAGCCUCAUAAUUAAAUGUUGAUCAGAGGGAGGAUUACACUCACAUUACAAAUAAUCAAGAAAUUACUAUUUAGAAAUUUAUAUUACUGAUCCAUCAUACUAAGGAAUGUUAAAUGAAGUUAAAGAUAUUCUUCUUAAAAAAGAAAAACAAAUUUGUUUUCUUAAAGAAGAAGUAGAUUUAUUAAACAUUACUUCUCAACUUAAGAAACCUGAAAUUCAAAAUCAAAUUAAAUUAAUUAAUCAACAGUUUAGAGAUGAAAUCUGCAAUGAUUUACCUAAAGCCUUUUGGGAUAGUAAGAAACAUGUUAUUUCUUUAACUUAUCUUGAUGACUUUAAUGAAAGUCAGAUUCCCACUAAAGCUAGGCUUGCUCAAAUGAAUCAUGAGUAUUUGGAUUUAUGCAAAAAGGAGAUAGAAUCUCUUCUAGAAAAAAAUUUAAUAAGAAAAUCUAAAUCUCCUUGGGAACGUGGGGUCCCUAGACUUGUUAUAAAUUACAAACCUCUUAAUAAAGUGUAAAAUGGAUUAGAUAUCCUAUUCCUAAUAAAAAAGAUCUUUUAGAUAGAUUAAACAAUGCUUUAAUCUUCUCUAAAUUUGAUAUGAAAUCUGGUUAUUGGCAAAUUAGGAUUAAUGAAUCUGAUAAGUAUAAAACAGUCUUUAGUCUUCCUUUUGGACAUUAUGAAUGGAAUGUUCUUCCUUUUGGCCUUAAAAAUGCCCCUUCUGAAUUUCAAAAUAUUAUGAAUGAUAUUUUUAAUCCUUAUACUGAAUUUAUAAAUGUUUAUAUUGAUGAUGUCUUAGUUUUUUCUAAAACUAUAGAUCAACAUGUUAAACAUUUAAAAAUAUUCAAAGGAUUAGUUAAAUAUAAUGGAUUAGUUAUAUCUGCUCCUAAGAUGAAACUUUUUCAAACAAAAUUUAGAUUUUUAGGUCAUGAAAUUGACCAAGGAACUAUAAUUCCUAUACAAAGAAGUAUUGAAUUCGCUUCUAAAUUCCCCAAUACUAUUACAGAUAAAAAACAAUUACAAAGGUUUCUUGGUAGUCUCAAUUAUAUAGCAGAUUAUUAUGAAAAUCUUGCAAAAGAUAUUGCCAUAUUACAUGCUAGGCUAAAAAAGAAUCCUGGCCCUUGGAUUGAUAAAUAUUCUCAGGAUGUCCAAAGAAUUAAAAAUAAAGUUAAAUGUUUGCCUUGUUUCUCCCUUGCUAACCCAAAAUAUUUCAAAAUUGUUGAACCAAAUGCUUCUGACUUACGCUAUGGAGGAAUCCUUAAACAAAUUAUACCUGAUACAUCAAAAGAAGUUUUAGUCAGAUUUACCUCUGGAAAAUGGAAUCCUGCCCAAUCGUAAUAUUCUACUAUCAAAAAAGAGAUGCUCUCUAUUAUAAAAUGCAUUUCAAAAUUUCAAGAUGAUCUUCUUAAUAAGAAAUUUUUAUUAAAAAUUGAUUGUUGCUCAGCUAAAUCAAUUAUUGAAAAAGAUGUUAAAAAUCUUGUUGCUAAGCAAAUUUUUGCUAUCUGGCAAUCUCAAUUAUCUAUGGUUGAAUUUGACAGACAUUCAACACAUUAAAGGUGAAAAUAAUUCACUUGCUGAUUAUUUAACUCGUGAAUUCUUGCAGGGAAAAAAUGAUGACCCUGUAUAGGGGAAGAGGCCGCGGUUAUGGCCGUAGUGGAAGGGGGAGUAACAAUAUGUUACCCCAGUCAGAAUCAAACAUUCCUCUAAUAGGGGAUUGGACUACAGUUUACAAAGGUAGAAAAAUGCAGCAAUUACCCGCAUCCUUAUCUAAAAAGGAAGAUAUUCCUUCCUCCUCCACUAAUAAAAGUACAUCUUACGAAUAAGUUGCGGUUAAUAACCCACCUCAAGAACAAUUGGAUUAUUUUGAAAAUUCAGUAACUGAAAAAAUCAUGUAUAUUGAUGAAGAAGAUAUCAAAGUCAAUCCAAAUGAUGGAUGGUCUAUCAAAACUAGAUACCUCGAAUCAAGAGGAUAUCCAGGCCUACUUAGAAAAUCUAGGCCUCACCUAGAAAUUCUUCUAACCGUUACUGAAUCGGUAACAUUUACUCACCAUUACUAGAAUAAUAAUCCUGAAAGUUUUAUAAACUUCAGUAAAUGUCACAUUAAUAAAAUCCUGUUACCAAGAGAAUGGGGUCUUAAUCCAAAUGGUGAAAAGGCAAUAAGAAUUGCAGAAGGAAAGUAUAUAUUUCUUUAUUACCGCGGACUAUGUCAAGCUUUUACUCAAGUUUUUGUUAUCAAUCCUAAGAUAAGCAUUCUUGGUUUUUUUCUAUUAAUCCAGAGAUGUAUGGAAGUAGACUAUACCAAAUUGGUUUUAUGAAUGGUGGACUAAAUUUGGUCCGUCUUUGGAAAUACUACCCAAAGAAUUACUUGAUUUAUACAAUCCCUGGUGUGACAAUAGCCCACUUAUUGCAAAUAUUUUAUCUGAUAAUUUAAAUACCGGACAAUGUCCAUUUUGGUUCUUUACCAAAUUUCCGAUUCCAUGGAUAUGGAGAUGGUCAAUCACCAUAUCUCAAGAUAAAUUCAACAUACCCAUUUUAGAAAGAAAUUUCUUCUAUAAAUGGUGGAACAAAAUGAGUUCCGAAGAAGUCCGGAAAAUAGGAAAUUUAAUUCAAACAGCUAUAGCUGAAGACCAAAGUAAUAAGGUCAAAGAGAAAAGCUCCCAACAAAUGUCUAUGGGAAAUCUGAAGUACUUCUUCCAGAGAAAAUAUCCAAAUGAAUCAGAAGAUGAAAUCAUGGUUAGAACUUUGGACCAUAUGAAAAACCAAUUCUUCUCCCCUUUUCCAGCAAAAGCAUCAAAAGAUGAGGAUUCAUCUAUGAAGACCAGAUCUUCCAUGGGAUCAAUUGAUUCCCACAACUUUGACUAUUUGGCAGGAGAAGCCUGAGCAGAGGACCGAACUGCAGAGGAUUUCUGGGACGCAAUGAUUCAAUCCAUGGCCCAGAAAGCAAAAGAGAAAGCAAAAAAAAUAAGAAUCAAUAAUCAAAGGCAGAAGAUAAGAAAGAAUCCUAUCUUGUUUGCCAUUUCAAAGCAAUAAUGAAAAAGAAUCAAUAAACAAAAGCAAAAGACAAGGUUAAUGGAAUAAGAAAAUAAUCAAAGGCAGAAGAUAAGAAAGAAUCCUAUCUUGUUUGCCAUUUCAAAGCAAUAAUGAAAAAGAAUCAAUAAACAAAAGCAAAAGACAAGGUUAAUGGAAUAAGAAUCUUGUCAAAAGCAAAAUUUGCCAAAAGCAAAAGAUAAGAAAGAAUCUUAUCUUAAUGUAAAAGUUUUUUGUUUUUUAUUAAUGUUUAGUAGUUCACCUACUAUUGUAGGUAGAUGUUACCGGUUUAAAUAGUAAGUCUUUGCUUCCAUAUAUAAGGGGAUUUAAGUUUCUUUUGUAAUCAAGUUUUUGCAAAAUAAGUUUGAAAGAAAAUUCUCUAUACUUCUCUAGACUUCUAUACCAUUUCUUUACUUUCUUAUAUAUAUUUCGACAUUUUUAUUAAUGUGACAUUUACUAAAGUUUAUAAAACUUUCAGGAUUAUUAUUCUGGUAAUGGUGAGUAAAUGUUACCGAUUUGGUAACGGUUAGAAGAAUUUCUAGGUGAGGCCUAGAUUUUCCAUGUAGGCCUGGAUAUCCUCUUGAUUCGAGGUAUAUAGUUUUGAUAGACGAUCCAUCCUUUGGAUUGAUUUUGAUAUCUUCUUCAUCAUUAUACAUUGUUGGUUCUAUGUGUUGGCAACAAUUUUGAUCAAACCUAGAGUGUUCACAAGUUGUCACAAGUGUUGUCUUGACAUAAGAUAACAUGUACCUGCAGGAUGUUUAACAUGUGAAUAUGCAGGAUUUUAUUGAGAUGUCAUGACAUCUGUAUACAGAACAUUCAGUCUGAAUGUUAUGUAUUAUGUGAUUGCGUUUUUUAUGCUAAUCUAUGUAUGACUGAAGAGAUGAUUAAACGUGCAUUCAAUCAGUAAUUACAACCAGAUUGACUUAUUUUCCAACGAGAUAUAAUCAGCUGUCAUGAGAAGAUAUGAAUGGAAAAUAGUUUUAGGGUUUUAUGAUGUCCAAGCCCAGCCAAAUGCUUCUAUAUAAAGGACAUGGAAAACCUGGUUUUAUACACAAGAAAUAACGAACAAAAUAUUGAGAGAGAAUAAGGGUUUGAGUCUUGUGUGGUCGUGUGAAUUGUAAGCCAUUCAUUCAUCCAUAGAUGAUUGAAUUGGACUGAUUUUUGAGUUGUAAUUUAUCCACUCUAAGCUUUGAAGCAUGAGUGUGUGUUUACUUGAUUGAAGCUUUUAAGCAAGAUCAAGUAUGUGUCUUUGAAGAGUGUCUUCUUUUCAUUGUAAUUCAUGUUUUAUAUCACUGUUGUGAUUGAGGGGGAGUGAGUAGGAUCUCAUAUCUAAGAGUUCUUAGGUAGAAGUCACACGGGUAGAGAUUAGGUGAAAAGACUGUAACUUGAAGUUAUUUACUGAAAGUCUUUGAACUGAUUCUGUUUAGUGGAUUUCCUUCCUGACUUGGUAGCCCCCAGACGUAGGUGAGUUUGCACCGAACUAGGUUAACAAUUGCUUGUGUCUCUCGCAUUACUGUUCUUUAUCUUUUAUCCUGUUUGUAUUAUUCAGAUAUUAGUGUCGUGACAUUACCUUUGAAAUCUCAUAUCUGAUACCAGAAUUUCAAUUGGUAUCAGAGCAGGCAUCCUGCUCUGGUUCUGGGUGAGAUCUAGGGACGUUACUUUCUAGUAUUAUGGAUAGAGACGGAGGACCCAUUCACAGACCACCUAUUCUGGAUGGAUCCAACUAUGACUAUUGGAAACCUCGAAUGGUAGCCUUCCUAAAAUCUUUGGAUAAUAAGGCUUGGAAGGUUGUUUUAACAGGCUGGGAACAUCCAUUUAUUACUAAGGAAGGAGAAGCCACAACUGAUAAGAAGGCUGAGGAACAAUGGACCAAGGAAGAGGAUGAUCUAGCCCUUGGAAACUCUAAAGCAUUGAAUGCUAUAAUCUAUGGAGUAGAUAAGAACAUCUUCAGAUUGGUAAACAACUGUGAGGUGGCUAAAGAUGCUUGGAACAUUCUCAAAACCACUCAUGAAGGCACCUCUAGAGUGAAGAUGUCUAGACUGCAGCUUCUCACUACCAAGUUUGAGAAUUUAAGGAUGAAAGAAGAUGAAAAUAUUCAUGAAUUUCAUAUGAAUAUCCUUGAAAUUGCUAAUGCCUCAGGAGCCCUGGGUGAGAAGAUGUCAGAUGAAAAACUAGUGAGGAAAAUACUCAGGUACCUUGAAAUUGCUAAUGCCUCAGGAGCCCUGGGUGAGAAGAUGUCAGAUGAAAAACUAGUGAGGAAAAUACUCAGGUCACUUCCUAAGAGAUUUGCCAUGAAAGUGACAGCCAUAGAAGAGUCUCAAAACAUUUCCAAUAUGAGAGUUGAUGAGCUAAUUGGAUCCCUCCAAACAUUUUAGAUGGGAAUGUGUGAUGGAUCUUAAAAGAAAGUCAAAAGCAUAGCCUUCAUGUCAAACACUGAAGAGAAAGAGGAAGAAAAUGGCCAAGAUACUGAUGAAGAUCUAGCAAAUGAUGUAGCAUUACUGGGAAGACAGUUCAACAAACUUCUGAAAAAGAUGGAUGUAAGGUUUAAGUCUAAUGUCAAGAACAUCUCAUCUGACAUCAGUAAGUCCAAUAAUGCUGGAAGAAGAACAAGAUCUGAUGAAAAGUCCAAAGAAGGAAAAGGAGUUCAAUGCCAUUAAUGUGAUGGGUAUGGAUACAUUAAAGCUGAAUAUGGAACCUACCUCAAGAAACAGAAGAAGAGACUUGUUGCUACUUGGUCUGAUGAAAGUGAAACAAAAGAGUCUACAAAUCUUGUGACUGCCUUGACUGGAAGAUGGGGUUCUGAUGAAGACUCAAGUGAUAAUGAAGUAACCUUUGAUGAGUUAGUCACUAAAUACAGAAAGUUGUGUCACAGAAGUGAAGAAGUGUGUCAACAAGUGGAAAGUCAAAAGAAAGUGAUAACACAACUGGAGAAUGAGAAGGUAGAACACUUGGAAACCAUCUCUAAGUUAAAAACUGAAGCAGUGUUCUUGAAUUCCAAACUGGAUGAGAUGAAAAAGUAUGUCAGAAUGCUAAAUAAUGGAUCUGACACCUUUAGACAAAAUUCUCCAGACUAGACAAAUGGCAGGAGACAAGUCUGGCAUUGGGUUCAAUGAAUCCAAACAUGAGUGCAGUCAUACUGGUAGCAAACCAAAAUCUAAACCUGAGUGCAGUACUGGUAGCAAACCAAAGAUGUCACAUCAUAUGUCACAACAUCAUAAAGGAAGACAGCAGAAAGGGAAACAUCAAAGAUGGAGAUGUCAUUACUGUGGAAAAUUUGGCUACAUAAAACCAUUAUGCUAUAAGUUGUAUGGCUAUCCUAGUCCUUCUCAUCAUCAACCUAGACCCAAACAUCACAUACUUGUCAACAGAAAACAAUGGGUUCCUAGGACUGGUGUUACAAACCUGAUAGCUCACACUUCCUAGUAUGGCUAUCCUAGUCCUUCUCAUCAUCAACCUAGACCCAAACAUCACAUACUUGUCAACAGAAAACAAUGGGUUCCUAGGACUGGUGUUACAAACCUGAUAGCUCACACUUCCUUCAGAGUUUCACCCAAAGAAGACUGGUAUUUUGACAGUGGGUGCUCCAGACACAUGACUGGAAACAAAAACCUGCUAACUGGCCUUCAUCCUCAUGCCACCAGCUAUGUAACCUUUGGUGAUGGAGCAAAAGGUGAAAUCAAGGGGAUUGGUAAGCUUAACUGCCCUGGAGUCCCUAACCUUGACAAUGUCCAACUUGUUAAGGGACUGACUGCAAACCUAAUAAGCAUCAGUCAACUAUGUGACCAAGGUCUAACGGUAAACUUCACAAAAACUGAGUGUCUGAUUACUAAUAAAGAAAAUGAAGUGAUCAUGAAAGGAGUUAGGUCUAAGGACAACUGCUAUAUGUGAAGUUCUCAAGAAACUGGUUAUUCAUCAAUGUGUACUCUAGCCAAAGAAGAAGAAGUGAAGAUAUGGCAUCAAAGAUUGGGCCAUCUGCAUCUUAAAGGAAUGAAGAGGAUUAUAUUUGUUGAAGCUGUUAGAGGAAUUCCCAAAUUGAAGAUUGAUGAAGGAAGAGUUUGUGGGGAGUGUCAGAUUGGAAAACAGACAAAGAUGUCACAUCAGAAGCUCAGACAUGACACCACUUCCAGAGUGCUGGAACUUCUCCAUAUGGACUUGAUGGGACGCAUGCAGGUGGAAAGUCUUGGUGGGAAGAAGUAUGCUUAGGUUGUGGUGGAUGACUUCUCCAGAUACACCUGGGUCAAUUUUAUAAGAGAGAAAUUUGAUGUAUUUGAAGUCUUCAAAGAUCUCUGUCUAAGACUUCAAAGAGAAAGAGAAAGUCAGGUUAUCAAAAUCAGAAGUGAUCAUGGGAAGGAAUUUGAGAACAGCAAAUUUGCUGGAUUCUGUGCAUCAGAAGGAAUUAGUCAUGAGUUCUCAUCUCCCAUUACUCCUCAACAAAAUGGUGUGGUAGAAAGAAAAAUGAGAAUUCUCCAAGAAUCAGCCAGAGCUAUGAUUCAUGCUAAGAAAUUGCCCUACAACUUCUGGGCUGAAGCUAUGAACACAACCUGCUAUGUUCACAACAGAGUAACCUUGAAGAAAGGGACUCCUACUACUUUAUAUGAAGUCUGGAAAGGGAGAAGAUCUACAGUCAAAUACUUCCAUGUGUUUGGUAGUAAAUAUUAUAUCUUGACUGAUCGUGAACAAAGAAGGAAGAUGGAUCCCAGGAGUGAUGAAGGAAUAUUUCUGGGCUACUCAACAAACAGCAGAGCAUUUAGAGUCUUUAAUUCCAGAACAAAAAUAAUGAUGGAAUCUAUCAAUGUUGUGGUUGAUGAUCAGCAGACUGAUUUCACAGACGAUGUUGAGACAUCCCAAAAUGAGUUUGCAUCGAUUCUGUUUAGUGGAUUUCCUUCCUGGCUUGGUAGCCCCCAGACGUGGGUGAGUUUGCACCGAACUGGGUUAACAAUUGCUUGUGUCUCUCGCAUUACUGUUCUUUGUCUUUUAUCUUGUUUGUAUUGUUCAUGUAUUAGUGUCGUGACAUUACCUUCGACAUCUCAUAUCUGAUACCAGAAUUUCAUACAUGAUUUUUUCAGUUACUGGAUUUUCAAAAUAAUCCAAUUGCUCUUGAGGUGGGUUAUUAACCGCAACUUCUUUGUAAGAUGUACUUUUAUUAGAGGAGGGGGAAGGAAUAUCUUCCCUUUUAGAUAAGGAUGCAGGUAAUUGUGGCAUUUUUCUAUCUUUGUAAACCGUAGUCCAAUCCCCUAUUAGAGGAGUGUUUGAUUCUGGUUGGGGUAACAUAUUGUUACUCCCCCUUCCACUACGGCCAUAACCGCGGCCUCUUCCCCUAUACGGGGUCAUCAUUUUUUCCCUGCAAAAAUUCACGAGUUAAAUAAUCAGCAAGUGAAUUAUUUUUACCUUUAAUGUGUUGAAUGUCAAAUUCAAACAUAGAUAAUUGAGAUUUCCAGCUAGCAAAAAUUUGCUUAGCAACAAGAUUUUUAACAUCUUUUUCAAUAAUUGAUUUAGCUGAGCUACAAUCAAUUUUUAAUAAAAAUUUCUUAUUAAGAAGAUCAUCUUGAAAUUUUGAAAUGCAUUUUAUAAUAGAGAGCAUCUCUUUUUUGAUAGUAGAAUAUUUUGAUUGGGCAGGAUUCCAUUUUCCAGAAGUAAAUCUAACUAAAACUUCUUUUGAUGUAUCAGGUAUAAUUUGUUUAAGGAUUCCUCCAUAGCCUAAGUCGGAAGCAUCUGUUUCAACAAUUUUGAAAUAUUUAGGAUUAGCAAGGGAUAAACAAGGCAAACAUUUAACUUUGUUUUUAAUUCUUUGGACUGCCUGAGAAUGUUUAUCAGUCCAAGGGCCAGGAUUCUUUUUAAGCCUAGCAUGUAAUAUGGCAAUAUCUUUUGCAAGAUUUUCAUAAUAAUCUGCUAUAUAAUUGAGACUACCAAGAAACCUUUGUAAUUGUUUUUUAUCUGUAAUAAUAUUGGGGAAUUUAGAAGCGAAUUCAAUACUUCUUUGUAUAGGAAUUAUAGUUCCUUGGUCAAUUUCAUGACCUAAAAAUCUAACUUUUGUUUGAAAAAGUUUCAUCUUAGGAGCAGAUAUAACUAAUCAAUUAUGUUUAACUAAUCCUUUGAAUAUUUUUAAAUGUUUAACAUGUUGAUAUAUAGUUUUAGAAAAAACCAAAACAUCAUCAAUAUAAACAAUUAUAAAUUCAGUAUAAGGAUUAAAAAUAUCAUUCAUAAUAUUUUGAAAUUCAGAAAGGGCAUUUUUAAGGCCAAAAGGAAGGAUAUUCCAUUCAUAAUGUCCAAAAGGAACAGUAAAGGUUGUUUUAUACUUAUCAGAUUUAUUAAUCUGAAUUUGCCAAUAACCAUAUUUCAUAUCAAAUUUAGAGAAGAUUAAAGCAUUAUUUAAUCUAUCUAAAAGAUCUUUUUUAUUAGGAAUAGGGUAUCUAAUACAUUUUAACACUUUAUUAAGAGGUUUGUAAUUUAUAACAAGUCUAGGGACCCCACAUUCCCUUUCGGCAGUAUUAUUAACAUAAAAAGUUGUGCAGCUCCAAGGAGAUUUGGAUUUUCUUAUUAAAUUUUUCUCUAAAAGAGAUUCUAUCUCCUUUUUGCAUAAAUCCAAAUACUCAAGAUUCAUUUGAGAAGGCCUAGCUUUCGUGGGAAUCUGACUUUCAUUAAAGUCAUCAAGAUAAGGUAAAGAAAUAACAUGUUUCUUUCUAUCCCAAAAGCCAUUAGGUAAAUCAUUGUAGAUUUCAUCUCUAAACUGUUGAUCAAUUAAUUUAAUUUGAUUUUGAAUUUCAGGUUUCUUAAGUUGAGAAGUAAUGUUUAAUAAAUCUACUUCUUCUUUAAGAAAACAAAUUUGUUUUUCUUUUUUAAACUGUUGAUCAAUUAAUUUAAUUUGAUUUUGAAUUUCAGGUUUCUUAAGUUGAGAAGUAAUGUUUAAUAAAUCUACUUCUUCUUUAAGAAAACAAAUUUGUUUUUCUUUUUUAAGAAGAAUAUCUUAAACUUCAUUAAUCAUCCUAGUAUGAGGAUCAGUAAUAAAUUCAAAAGUAAUUCUUUUGUUAUUGAUAAUGGAGGUAAUUCACUUUUGAUCAACAUUAAUUAGAAGCAUAACUUUAUGCAGAAAAGGAGUUCCUAAUAUGAUUCUAUGAGUUAAAUUUUUUACAAGAAUAAAAUUAGUAGGUAAACAAAUAUCUUUGUUACAGAUAUAAGCAUUAGAAAACUUAUAAUUAACCGUGAGUUUAUCUCCUCCAGUUUGGGUAAGAGAUUGUGUGGUUUUAUCAAAGUAUUUAGUGGGAAUAAUUCCUUCUUGAAGGCAGUUUAAAUCAGUGCCACUAUCAAUAAGGGCAACUUCAUUUUCGAAUAUGAAAUUUCUAUUAAUAACUAAAGUUAUUCUAACAAACCAUUUUUGAGAGGUCACUCUAUCAAUGAGAGAACAGAAUUCAUCACUGUGUGAAGGAUUACUAGUUGAAGAUAUCUCUUCAACCUUGGAAUUAUUGGAUUCUAACAGAGUGAGUCUUUGAGAUAAACCAUAGUUUUCUCUUUUAAUCUGAGAUAUCUCUUUCUUUAAGAGAUUUAUUUCUCUAUUUAAAUCCAUAAUAGAAACAGGAGUUUCACGAAUGUUAGACUGUCGAAAUCUAGACAAAACCUUACUUAAUUGGUAAGGUGCUUCUGUAAUAACAGAAAAAACUUUUUUAGAGUUUUCUUGUAUUAAGACCUCAAGCAUUUUUCUUUUUAGUUCUUUAUUAGAAAUAGAUUCUAUAGCUUUUAUAGCUUCGUCUUGUUCUGAGGUUAAAAUAUUUAAUCCAUUCAUAUCAACAAUUGAUUUCCAGUAAUCUAAUUAAUUACAUUGACAAUCAUUACUGUCAGAAUAUUCAGAAGAGCAUUCAGUAGAGGAUUCAUGAAUCAUAUUAAUAUCCUCUUAUGAAGAAUAAUUUUUAGAAUCAGAAUUGAGAAGUAAAACUUUUUUCUAAUUGAGAACGCAAUUGUUCAUCUUCUAUCUCAUUAAGAGCUUUUCUAGUCCAACAUUGGUUGGCAUAAUGACCAUGUUUGCCACAUUUAUGACACGUUAUGUCAAGCUUUUUGGAUUUUCUUUUGCCUUUAGGGUCAAAAGAUUUUUCUUUAGGUCUACCUUUAUUGUAGUGACCCUUUUUCUUAUUCUUAUAAGAAUUUUUAUAAGAAUUUUUUGACUUAUCCUUAUAAGGUUUGUUGCGAUUUUUUUUUUCUUUUUUCUUAUUAUUAUUAUCUGGAGAUUUUCCAAGAUCAAAAGCAAAUUGUUCGCAAAAUUCACCAAGUUGGUGUUUCUCCGAAAGCUUUUUCUGUUUAAGUUGAAUUCUAAGUUUUAUGUCAUUACAUAAAGUUAAUCCUUCAUUAACACAAGUGCUAAUUAUAUGACCAUAAGUAAGGUUAGAAUAUUUUAUAUUUAUCCCAUCAUUUUUCUGUCUUAAAGAUUGUCUAACCUUUCCAGAAAAGAAAUGGGGUAAUCCAUCAAUAAAUUUUUCUUUCCAAUGCAAAGAAUUAGGAUUGUUUAAUUGAUAAACUCUUGAAAGAAAAGUAUCCUUAUACCAUCUAAAGUGGGUAAGAGAAGGACACCUAAGGUUUUGGAGAAGUGUAUGGAUUUUUUCUCUAAUGGGGACAUUGGUUCCUACAAAAUGUUGUAAGAUGGAGAGACACAGAGUAUACACUGCAUCUUCUUCUUCUGUCGCAGUCGUAGCCAAAGUAGUGCUUCUACUGGUUCCUGACUCGAUCUUAAUGAUUUUCUUAUGAUUAAGAAUUUCUAAUUUUUGAGAUUCGGUGAGAUAAUGAUCCCACAAGCCUCUAAGUUGGCCAACAAAACCUAUGGUUAUAAAGGAUGCUAUAGAACUAUCUGAAUUUCCAUGUUGCUUGCAAACAGUAGAAUACAUGAUCAUCCUAUGGAUUGUAUCUAUAAUCUGUUUGUCAUUAAGACCAUCAACAUUCCAUUCAUAAUUGGCUUUUCCUGAAUAAGAAUUCUGGAAUGGUUCAGGUUCCUCAAAGAGCAAAUCUUGCGGUGAGGGGCGUUUGUAAUAAUACUUUUCUAUAAGUCUAGGAGAAUAAACAGGGUUUAUAUUAUUAGUAUUAUUAAUGUCAAGGUUACUAAUGUCUAAAUUAGCAAACAUAUCAGAUAAUUGGUCAAUAUGGUUUUCGUUAUUAUCCUCAGAAUAAUCUUCAAUUAUUAAUGUCAAGGUUACUAAUGUCUAAAUUAGCAAACAUAUCAGAUAAUUGGUCAAUAUGGUUUUCGUUAUUAUCCUCAGAAUAAUCUUCAUGGGACAUAACUGUGAUAUUAAGACCUUUUAACGUUUGUUCUAUGGAAACAGGAGGUUGUACUAUAGGAACAUCCGAAAUAGUGGAUGUGGACAUCUGGUCCUUAGAUUUAUUUAUGAGGUCAAUAAUGAUAUCUUGACGUGCUAUUUUUUUUUCUAAAAGAUUUUUUAUGGAUAAUAGAUCUUUUUCCGUAAAGAUAAAUUGUUCUCCUAAGCAAACAAGAUAAGCAUUGGUAUCAUUCUGAGACCUGAUGACAAAAUUUAAUUCCUUAAGAAUAACUUGAUUUUGUUCAACUCUUUGUAACUGAAGGUUAAGGUAAGGGGUAGCUUCAGUAUUUUGACUCAAACUUAUCGUUUUUUCAGGGGGGAAAAGGAGCUUCCAUUUUCUCUCCUCUAACAUUUUCCCAAGUCUUUGUAAAACAAGGAUUUCUUCUUGUUUUUUACUUAUGAAAUAGUUAAUAAACCAUUUCACAAAAGGAAUGAAAUCCCGCGCAAGAUUCAUUUGAGUGUAGUACUCAUCUUUAAAUUGAGCUAAUUCGUGUUUUGAAUUUUUUUUUUAAAACCAUUCUCUGAAUCAAGUAUAUCUCUCAUGUUGAAACACAUCAUUGAUGAGUUGUCUCAUCUUGCUACCAGGGGAGUAAUCUAACAUUAUAAUUAGAAAUCCAUGUCUGACGGAAUAGGUGAUUCUACUCUUGGAGUAUUAGGUUUUUGAUAAAUUCCUUGGGGAAUUCUAUUUUCGCUAAGUCUUAUAUUCUCAACGACCUUUAUCUCUUCUCUUGUUUGAGAAGUAAAAGGUCUAGGUAAUUGGCUAGAAGCUGUGUAAAAUUCACUAACUGAGUGUCUAGCAGAUAGAGAUCUAGGUAUCCUAAUUAUUCUUUUAGGAGUGAAGUUUAUUUCUAGAUCUUCUUCAGUAGUUUGAAUUAUUUGAUCUAUAUCCCUAUUAAGGAUAGGUUCAGGAUCUAUUUCCUGGGGAAGAGACCAUGUCUCUGGGAAGUUUAUUUCAUCCCAUUUUAUCAAUCUAUUGGUUGCAACAAGGUUCAGGAUCUAUUUCCUGGGGAAGAGACCAUGUCUCUGGGAAGUUUAUUUCAUCCCAUUUUAUCAAUCUAUUGGUUGCAACAUUGGAAGUUAACAAAUUGGUUUGAACCAAAGUAGUAGUUCCAUGGAACGCUAAUUGUUUUUCUUUGGGAUUAAGCAUAGUAAGAACCUUAUAGUAGAUUCUAUAGCAUAUUGCUAUGAUCUCACUUCCAGGUUUGAAAUUGUAACCAUCAGUAUGAACAGUUAACUGAAUAACGUCUAAUAAAUUCUUAUCAGAUAAAGAUAGAGUUAUAUUUGGUGAGACAUCAAAGCACACUGGUCCAUGACACAUACUUGUCUCUACCAUAGCGGUUAAAGAUUGUUUGAAAUCCUUACAUCUACCAUCUCUAACAUAAGCCAUUAUGCUAGAAUUUAAACCUAAUAAUGUUAACGGUUUUAGAGCAAUUUGAACCAAUACAAUAUGGAUAAAAUUAUAACUUUUAAAAGGUUUCAAAUCUUUUUUAGUUAAUAGUUUGAUUGUCUAUUUUUCUUUAGAAAUUUGGAUUGUUUGCUCUGGAGUUUUAACAGCAAAACGAGCAAAAACAUCUAUCUUACCAAAUCUAUAAAUUUGAUUAGGAGGAACGGAGGGUAUAACCCAUCUGUUGAGUUUAUCCAGAUUUCUUGGAUAGUCUACAAGUUCUUCAUUUUUGAUCAAAUUAUUUUGAUGAUUAUCAUCAUCAGAAUCCAUAAAAGAAACAGGCUAAGAAUGUUGUGAUUGGUUGAUACACAAAGCUAAAUCUAAAUAGAUAACUUGGAAAAGUUCUUCAUUUUUGAUCAAAUUAUUUUGAUGAUUAUCAUCAUCAGAAUCCAUAAAAGAAACAGGCUAAGAAUGUUGUGAUUGGUUGAUACACAAAGCUAAAUCUAAAUAGAUAACUUGGACUCAUAAAAUAAUAUUAACCGAAACAACAACCUAUUAAUAGUCAUCUAGGCAAACAACGAAUUGUUUAACUAUCAACCCAAAGGGAUAGAAGGAUUUCUCCCAAAUCAAAGAUGUCGAAAUGUUUUCAGCAAAAUUUUUCCUUUUUAGAAUCAUCAACAACUCCCUUCCCCGGGGAAAAGAUGUACCUAACAGAAAACACUAAAAACGUUUUUUCUUUUAAAAACACCUUUAAAAGGUUGUUUGGUUAUCUUUUAUUAAAAAGUAAUGAGGAAAAGUUACCUACUUAGUUUUAUCUAAGCGUAAUCAACCUAUCACAACAUAAGUUUAGCCACAAAUUAUCAUAACAAUUUGUGUAAUGAAAAACUUACCGUAGAUUUGGCAACCAGGUGAUGAUACCACAAUUAUAAAUAUAUAAUGAAGUUGCAUGUCUCGAAUAUAUUCAUGGGGAUAACACCAAUACAAUUUUGUUACUUGUCUCUUACGCUUUCGUUUCAUUUAUUAUUGUUUUUCGGAUCUCCUUCAUAAUUGAACAUCUUUGGAUUAAGUGUUGAAUCCAUUUAUUUUAGCAUGCAUAAUUGGAUUGUUUAUAUUUGAGUAUGACCAUUAUGUUUUAAGAUAAUUGCUUGAUUUAAUGCAAAAAUAACCAUAUUUGAGGUUUGUUCAAGUUAUAUGGGAAGUUAAAUCUCAAACUAUUUUGAAAAAAAGUUGAAAAAAUUGAGAUUUGUUGUGUAUGUCUCGAGUCACUCACAAUCUAUGACUCGAAUCAAAUUAAACGGAGGAGAACAAGAUGAUUUUGAUGGUUGUGACUCGAAUCACAGUUUACACAUGAUUGGAAUCAUGCAACACAAUGACUCGAAUAAGAAAUUGCACAUGAUUCGCAUCACACAUCUCAUGUUAGUCACUAGCUCAUUUGAUUCGAAUCACACUUUCUACAUGACUCGAAUCAAAAAGUUUUUCAUCUUUUCUUGUUUGGUUCUGAUCAAUUUUAUUUGAGUCGAGCUUUGUACAUGACUCGAAUCACGAUCCUUCAUGACUCAGAUCAGAGCUACAAUAUGGCUCGAAUCACAUGAAAUGGGUCUCAAAUCAACAAAUGCUCUUGACUCAAAUCUAACAACUAUUUUCACCUAUUUUUUGUAUAUAAUCUCCAACACAUAUAAAUUAUUUUUGUCAUCCCAUUUUUAUCAAGAAAACUUAUAACCAACAUUAUGAUUUUGUGAAAUCAACAACCUCCAUUUUUGAAAACUCAAAAAUCUCUUGCAAACAAAAUUUCUUUAAUCUUCACCCCCCAGUUUGAUAUUUGAUCUUGAUCAUGGAGAUUUGUAAUUAUUGAUGGAGACUUGUCUUAAAACUAACAUUUCUUGAUGUUUUGGUAAAUAUUUUCAAGAAGCUUGUAAGAUUGUUGUUGUUGCGACUAGUGGUGACAAAUUCUAGUGAAAAGAAUGACGUUCUUCUCUCCAGGUUGACUUUGAUAGUGUUGUGUCGAAGCCUACAGACAUGAUAAAAGUUCUUCUUAAUCUUCGAAAUGUUCAUCACUCAAAAAAUCAGUUGGACCAAGGGUGAUUUCCACACACAUAUCCUUGUAGCAGUUUGGUGAAGCUGGAAGAAUCAAGAAGCGAGAAUCAAGUAAAGAUUUCGCAAAGAGUUCGGCGUCAAGGUUGUAUACAAGUCAAGAUCUAGAUAAGAGAUUUAUUUUUCUCAGCAUUAUUGUGGAUUAGUGAUUGUAUGAACUCAUGUAAUAUUUGUUAAAACAUAGUGGAAGAAAAACUUCCACUAUGUGUUAUGUUAUCUUUAAAUUUAAAUAAAUAUAUAUAUAUAUAUAUAUAUAUCAUUCUUUAAAAUAGGCAGACAAUCAAUUUUUCAGAUUAGUAGAUGAUUCCUCAAUAGAGGAAGAAUUAGGCAAGUUAAAGCACGACGAAACUUUAGCCAACUGAAUAUUCUCAAGAAUAUUGGGAUCUAUUCAGUUGCGAAAGUUCUAGACUUUGCAAAAGGCAUUAUAGAACUAGAUGAUCGGGUUUUCUUGCCACAUACCAUGAUUGUAGCAUCACUAAUUGCACCCAUGAACAAUGCCAACAGAUUACGAUGGGGGAGUAGAAGACCAGGACCAAACGUGGGAGGGGCAUGUAUUCCAAAUCUAGAGGGAACUAUAACCACGACCCACAUAUAUAGCAUAAAAAGACAAAGUAUUCUUUAGAUUACAAUUUAUGGCAUUCAAGAAAUUAAUCAAAUUUAAUUUAUGUUAGAUGAUAGUACCGAUCUAGAAGGGGGUUAAAUAUAUCAGUUUUGAAAUUUAGCGCUUUUUAACAAUGUUGUCAACGGUUGCGGAAGAACCCUAGAUUAUAAUCGUUUAAACGACCCGUUAAUGGAAAGAUCGGAUAUGCGUGAAACUGAAUGCAAUAGCUAAGAUAGAGAUAAUCAAGCACUAUCUAAAUCAAUCGAUUAACCACUACAAUCCUUGAUAUCUUACCUCUAAUAAUGCUUAAACACAAUAAGAGAUCAAGUAAAAUAUUACUAGAUUUAUGUGAGAUUAAUUUUAUCGAACACUUGGUGUGCACUCCACACCAAGUUUCAAUUUCACUUAGAUUGAAUGUGCAGAAUUUUAUUCAGUUGCAAUCAAAUUGAUUGCACCAAUUUAUCGAACAGUUACUAUGCAUAACAAUCUAGCGAUAAUGAUUUUACUAUUAAUUUCAUAUAAAACGUAAUUAAUGCAUAAUUUAAAGAGUUAAGAGAUAGAGAGAACAAGACUGGAUUUAUUGAGGCAGUUCUCCUAUCAUCCUCGCUUAGGGUACGUCUGCCCUCAAUUCUAAAUCUAGAAUUGUGUUUUUUUUAUUAACAUGUUGCAAAGUCAAUACAAGAGAACAAAUGAUCACCACCAAUCAACCCCUAGAGUUGUUGCAGAUCUUAUUCUAUUCUCUCCCCUUGAUUCGAGUUGAACCAAGUCCUUCAAGCGCUUCGAAGAAACCUCCGGUUACCGCUACCUUAUUGCAAGAACGCCAUGUUCCUCAAAACUUCAACUCGACUGAUUUCGAACGCAAGUUGCUUGAACCCUAAGCUUUCUUCACAAUCCUCCGGUUACCGUUACUUGUUUGACCGAACCCACCGUUCUUCAAACUUUCCACUCGGCUGAAUCUACAAAGCAAAGGUUAGUGCAAAAACCCCGAAUUCUUGGAGGACAAACCCCCAAUGGUUUUAUUCAAGAAAAACCCACAUAAAGCUUCAACCCAAACUAAGAUAAUCCAAUCUUAUUUGGACGUUAUCACAACAGCAAUGCACAAUGCUCAAUAAAGAUUAUUAUGUGCUAUUAUUGAGAAAUGCCAUGAAAAAUGAAGAUGAUGAGCAUUUUGGUGUAUAUCUUUCACUUUUCUUAUUGAAUGUUGAAGAAGAGACUCUAGAAUAUUUAUAUGAUGCAUGGACCAACUAACAGACAUAACAUAAUUAAUUUGCAAAAUUACACAGCAGAAAAUUAAGUGUAAGCAGCGGCCGCUCGACCUGUAUGGACCCGAGGCAAAAUUAUUCAAGUAAAAUAGGUGAUGAGUCAACUCAAACAAAGUUUUUCCAGGGUUAAGUCGACCUAUGACUCGACCUGUUCAGACCCGUGACUACAUGGCUCAAAUGAAAAUAGGCAUUGAGUCGACGCAACAUGUGGAUGAGUCGACUCAUUCAGUUUUCCCAGGAUUAAGUCGACCUGUGGCUCGACCUGUUCAGAGUCGAGAUUUACGCUCUGAGUCAUUGAGUUGACCUGUGACUCGACCUGUUCAGAUCCGAGAGUUAUGCUUCGAGUCAUGAGUCGACUCACAGGUCUUAAACUCCCAAAAAUGAGUUUUGAGAUAUAUUUUGACCAAUUUAAACUGAUCUCUUAUGAACCUAGGAUAUUUACUAUGAUCAAGUGCAUGAUUCACAUCUAUGAUAUGCUCCUAUAUGUCUGGACACGUUGAACUUAUAUUUUGAACAUGUUAGAGGAUGAAUGCAUUCUAUGAUAUGAUGAUACUAUCAAAAGUACACGUUAUGGGAGAUUAGAAAGGUUUGACAUCAUUAAAAUAAGGACUGAGCAUAUUUUCCCUCACACUUUACACGCUUCUAUUUAUAUAUAUUAAAUCCAGUGCAUCAAACUAUCUUGCGACACUUCAACUUCUUCUAUGUCACAUCAUUUAUUUUUCUACGUGACAUCAUUAAAAUUUUAGCAACAAUAUAAACACUUGAAAAAUAUUUUUAAUGUUAAAGUAUAUAUUCCACAAUUUUCAGGGCUAAAUUACUCUCAAUUGAUUAAAAAUAUAAUAGAGAAUGCAACACUCUUUAUCGAAUCUAUAUAUUUCUUCUCUAUAUUUUUCUUAUCAUAUUAGACAAAUAAAUUAAAGACAAGCAACAAAAUUCUCAAUUUCUCAUAUAUAACAAAAAUUUGACAUCAUGGACAUAGAUUUAUAAAGCUAUUGAAUGCUUUAUUCGAUAAUAAUUGAAAAUAAAGUUUAAUUUUUAUUUAAGGCUAAAAAUAAAUAUAUGUCUUAUAAUUAAAUGUUUAAAAGAGAGACAAAUAUUAAAAAUAUAUUAGAAUAAAAAAAAUCAUUUGGGAUAUUUUUUAAAAUCAUUUAAAAUUGCAAAAUAAAAUCUUGUAUGUCACUUUCAACUUACAAACAUACAUUUUUUUAUUCGUAAUUAAUUCAUAUUAUUGUCAAAUUAUUUUAUAAUAAAUUAUUAUAAUAUAAAUUUUGUUUUCAUAUUUAUAAAAUAAAUUUUUUUAACAUAAUUAAAACUCAAUUUAAAAUAAAUAAAAAUUAAUUAUCAGUCGCGUAUCGCGUGGGUAUUAAUCUAGUUAACUUAAUUAUGUUACUUUCUUUUUAUACAUUUUUUGCACAUAUGUACUUAACAUUCUUUGGAGUGGUUAAAGAACCUGCAUACGUAAUAUAAUAUUACCCCCUUAGUGAAUUGUAUGAUGGAGAAGAGAAUCAUAGUUUAUAUCUAUCACUUUAAUAUCGCCUAAAUUUUACAUUCAAACAAAACAUUUGUAACGCCCAAUGGGACACUGCUAUAAAUAUAACUUGAAAAUUUUGUUCGCCAGGUUAAGACUAUGCUUGGCAUAUAUACCUACAAUUUGGAAAAUAAUAUCAACACGAUGGAUCAACCAUCACCAUCAUUUACAAGUAGUUAAGCCAACAAAGUGAUAUGGUUGAGAGAUGUUUUGGGAUUUAACUUAGGCAUGUGGAUAUGCUUGUAUAGAAGAAGCCUUGUCUUGAAUGGUUUAACAUUUUGGUACUUAUUUCCAUAGGUUCUCUAUGAAGCCUUGUAUAAUAAUAAGUGUUGCUUUUGUCUUUAGGUGGAAACUAUACAACACUUAUUGUUUGGUUGUGAUACAUUAAAGACCAUUAGGAGGAAUGUGCUAAAUUGGAAAGAAGAAAUGGAGUGGAUUACCAGGAAUAGCAAAGGCAAAGGGUGGAGAGCUCAGUUUCUAAAAGUUGUUGCAGUUGAAACCGUUUAUGAAAUUUUGAGGUAUAGGAACGACAAAAGUUAAGGAACCAAUGUAAUUAAUACAAACAUAUAGGAAAAUAUUACGUAUGCUCUAGUGUAUAGAGAUUGGACAAGUCAUAAAGUUAAAAAAAUAUAUAUACUUAGGUUGAUGAUACCCUAAUUGGGGUCUUUUUCUGGUCCAUUAGUCAUUUGGGUGUAGGUGGAUCUUUUGAUCGCUAGUUUGUAGUCGAUUUUUGAAUUAAUCAAAGUGUUUUAUUGAUUCAAACCAAAUACUAACCUAACUUUAAAGAGUUAAGGAAUUAAAAAAGUCAAGAUUCAAAUUCUAUAAAAAAACAUUAUACUAGUAUUACCUCCAUCUCAAAAUAAGUUUCACGGUACACACUUUCACACAUAUUAAAAAAAUUGUGAUAAAUGGUGUACCUUUCACACAUAUUAAAAAAAUUGUGAUAAAUGAAUAAGAAAGUAAAAAUACUUGCAUAGGAAUACAUUUAUAUCUAUAUUCUUAUAAACAACCAACAGGGAGAUAGAAAAUUUUAAAAUAUAUUUUAAAUAUAAUUUCUUUUUAAUUGGAGUCAAGGGGUAUGAGUGAUAAUGAAGGAGAGAGAAUUUUUUAUUUUUAUUUUUUAAUUAUAAAAAAAGGGAUUAAUUACUAUGCACUGUCAGGAUAAAAAGAUUUACACGGUCGAUUCAUCACCAUCACUCGUUUGCAUUACUUUAUAAAAUUUUAAAAUAAAAGUCAAAUAUAUUUCAAUAUCCAACGUAUAGGAUUAACUGACGGUGUAAAAUCAUUUUACAUUGUUAAUGUAUUUCAAUUAUAUCCAUAAAAAAAUUGUGAUUUGUUGCUUAUAAUAUUACGUGAUUUGUUCAAUUCUAUUCAAUAUUUUUUCAUAAAAAAAUAAAAAUAAUUUUAUUAAAUUAUUCUUAUUAUUUAUUGGAAUAUUUGAAUUAUGCAAGGUGAGAAAAAUAAUAAAUUAAUUAUAUAAUUGGAAAAUAAAAAUAAAAUAAAAAUGCAAUGUAAACUAAAAACGAUACUUAUAUUUCAUAAAUAAUUUUAAAAAAUAUGACAUAUAUUUUGAGGGAAAAAAAGGAGUAACAAUUAACAUUAUAACCCGUUAUUAAAAUUAAAUUCAAACAACCGCAAUUCAAAUGCAGCAAUGUUUUAUAUGAAAAACAGAUUAACAUGUUAUAAUGUCGUUGAGUUAGUUAUAUAUAUCUUCAUGUCUUCAUGUAUAAUGCAAAGAGCAUGGCCUAACAAGCGACAUGAUAUGCAAUAGUUUCAAGCAUGUCUCCUAUGAAGGCAAAUAUAAUAAGAAGAAAUCAACUCAAAUGAAACAUAAAAUCUCAAAAAAGGCUAAUUGGGAUUGAGGAAAGGAACACUAAAACAGUUUCAUGGAAUUAUAUACCACAAGCAUUCUCGCACACAUCUUAACAUUCAUACUAUAUUAAUUUAAUGAUUGUGAGAAGAACCAUAAAGCGGCAUUCCCAUAUGUAAACGAUGAUGUAAUUUGACUUCAUAUAUGCACAAAGGAAAAUGUAAGCUUCUAGGCUAUAGAUAUGGGUCUUCAGCCUAAUUAAUAUGUUUUUAAAUUUUAUAUUAAUUAAUUUUUAUAAAUUUCAAAACAAAAAUUAAGAAAAUUACUAUAGGAUAAAAUGAUCUGAAUAAAAAAAAAUUAAAUCUUAUGCAAAGUCAUCAAAAAGUCUCACGUAUUACACCCCUAUUUAAAACAAAACAUAAGGGGACAAACCAUAAUUUAACCUUAAUUAAAUUAUAAGAAUUAAAAAUAAUGACAGUAUUAAUAUUAUUUUAUAAAUUUACUUCUAUGAAAAGUUAAAUUAAAUUUCUAUCAUAUUAUUUGCUGAUUAUUACAAAAAGAAUCAAUUAAAUAUAUGUUAAUAAAUAAUAAUUAAUGGAAUUGAAAAUUUUAAAAAUGAAUUUUUAAAAAACAGCCAUAAAAGAAAUAUAGGAGAAUUUUAUUAAGUGCUUAUUGUGAAUUAUUUCCAUGGGUUUUUUGUGUUUAUACGGUGAAACUCUGUUUUUCAUAGGACAACUGUCGAAUAUGAUGUCCUAGACAAUUGAUUUGACAAAUUAAAUCAGAAACACUACGAUAGUAAAUAUUAGAGCAGUAAAUAACACGAUAGUUGUUUAUUCAGUUUGAUGAAAUCAUACUUACGUCUGGGGGCUGAGUCCACAACCUAAGAAAGGAAAUUUACUAUUAAUAGUUUAGUACAAUUAAUCUUACAAGCAACAACAAAUUAUAUGUUGUUCAAUGCCUCUUUUUAACGUUAUCCGAUGAAUUUCUAUUUAGGGUUCCACCUAAACAUGAGAACCUAGCCACUUUCUUCUCAAUCACACAACCUAUGAUUGGAGAUUACAACUCCAUAAUCAAUGUUGAAUACUACCAUUCAACUAUAGAUAAGCCUUUUAUAUCAAGUUACUGAAACAUGUACAUACAGCAAUAAUAAGUACUCGAAAUAAACAUAUCACUCUAAAAUCCUCAAUGUACUACUUGGCUUCCAAUGUAGGGUUUGAGCUCCUUAUAUAGCAUAAUAAAUUUAGACUUUUCUUCAUGGAUUUGAGAUUUGAUUUCGUCCAGAAUUAAUAUAGAAUUUGUUGGAUAUUAUUUAUUCCUUAAAUAUCUCCAACAACAUAUGAUUUGUUUUGAUAUAAAUUCAAAUUUAAAUCUUCAUUUAAAUCUAAAUCAAUCUUCAUCCCGCUGUCAAACAAAUCACAUAAUCAUAUUGCUAAAUAAAAGAAUUAAAAUAUAACAUAAUUAUCUCAAAUGAUUCUUUCAAAAUGUACAAAUCUCGUGCUUGUUGAGCAAGACCCAGAUGACGUUCCAAAAUGCUAGAGCAUCACGUCCAUCAUGUGUCCCUUCUGCACCUCCAUACAGCUUAAACAAGCUAGAUAAUUUUGAAUAAUUUAAAUACUUCUCCAUGUUAUUGUUUUGCAAAAUGCAACAAAUCCAAAGGUCCAAUCCAAUAGGAACUACAAUCUCCCCCUUUGGUAAAAUGUGACAAAACAACUCUUCAAGAUAUAACACUUAUUCAUACUAGAUUAAGUGACAACCAGUAGGACUAGUGGACUAUCAGAGCAUACAAACAGUAAUAACAACCAUCUUCAAAUUAUCAGAGUUAGUCACUAGCAUCAGUAGAAGUCAAUAGCAUUAACAUUCAGAUGCUUACACAUAAUUCAUUUAGUUGCUCCAAACCAAACAGAUAGUUAUGCAAUCAUUCACAGACUUAGUUAUACAUGAAUCUAGUUAGCUCAUAGUUAGUAGCAUACAAUCCUACUAACUAACAUAUAUCAGCAUGCAAUCGUUCACAUCUUAGUCAUGCACACACAAGUAGUUAGUAGUUGAUAUCAGAAUAUGCAAGGAAUUCUACUAACAUAGAUCUGUUUUCACAUAUACAAGGGCUAGAUGUCUUAUCUUAUGCUCUAGUAUGGAGCACACCAUUAUCACUCAUUGGAUAUGGUUAACACUAGACAAAAACAUGUGUUACCUCAACAUUCAGCUCAUAGCAACACUAGUACUCCCCCUUUUUGUCAUAAUUUGGAAAAGGGUUAGUAUCAAAUAACACUUAGAUGUCAUUCAUGCAGAGGUUAGUAUGUUAACACAUUCACAACCAAAAACAUGAGAAAACAACCAGAAAAGCAUCCAGAGAUACACAAGCAUUAAACUUGUUUUAUUGUUCAAAUAGGCUAUAAAGCCAUUACAAAUAAAAAACACCUAGAUACAAGGGCCACAACAACUAAAAUAGAACUAGUAAAUCUUCAAGAAGAAAUCUACAAACUUCAGCUCCUUAGAUCAAAAGCCAAUUUAGGUUGUUCUCAUGUGAUUCAGAAUUACUUGAGUCACUUGAUUCCAUUAGCUCUGCAACUGCAUCCUAUAUCCUCGUUAACUUCUCAGGAUGCAUAUUUGAGAUCAUUAUCUUCUUAUGGUCGGAUGUUCCUCCAGAAACCUUAAUAAUGGUGAUGUUGUUCCUAACAACUCCAACUUUCUUGGCCUUAUUUAACCAGGACUCCAGCUUAUCCGCGACAUCCUUUGGAACCUCAAUUUCAUUGACAGGUACGCUCCUAGACGAAUCAUCAGAAUUUUGAUUUAGAGAGAUUUGUAAGAUGAUAAUAGGGUAAAGCAAGACGCUUGUAUUUCUUGCUUGUAAUGAUAUCCCAGUUGUGUCACACUUGAGAUAACAAAAUAAAUCGCGUUAAUUUUUGUGCCAAAGUGGUCUUAGGGGACAAAAACACUUUUUCUCCUUUGGCACAACUCCCUAGCAUGAAUUGCUAUUGAAUCUCACAAAUCCAGCCCCUUUUUUAAAGUUUACUGCAUCUAAUGCCUAAAAAAUGUUAGAGACAAAUGUCAUGACAUCUUGUCCCGCAUUACACUUCUUCAACAUCUACUUCAUCCAGAGUAAUUUCUUACCAUUGCUCUCAGCGGUAGAGAACUUAUCUUCAUCAAAAGACAAGGUAGUAAUGAUUUUCAACUUGCUGACCCAUAUGUUGUUGACAAGAGAGAAGCAUCUUUCGCUAUCAUCAUCACCAGUGAAACUUAACAUGAGCUUCUCUUUGUCUGUCACACAUACUUUCUUUAGUAGUUGAAUCACUUCUUCAAAUGUCAAAAUUUAUUUUGACAACCAUAUCCCCUUUAAUAUUCUACAUCCAGUAUUUUCUGAAUAAUGAACAUACUGACCAAGAUAUUUGCUUCAACAUUUGACUCUAAUAGAAACAUUCUAGAUUAUUCACAAUAACCAAAAAAUGUGUGUCCAUCCUUCUUCUGAGUUGCGGACUUAGUUACCACUAUGAUACUUAAGAUGUCUGUCACAUUUUGGAAAACAUAUUCCUUAUCAUCAGUAUCAUCCUUCAUUAGCUUUGAUAGAAAUUCAGGAAGAUUCCCAACAUCUUCUAUCAAGCUUAACUCAAGGUCAAAUUGCAUCUAAUGGACAACAUCAUUGUCUUACAUAAUCAACCGAACAUCCUCUUCAGAGAUCCAAGCUUCAUUUGGCAACAUCUUUUCAUGAGCUAAUCACAUUUGACAUAAAUACUUAAGCACAAUAUCCUCCUUAAGGAGAGACACGUUACCAAGAUUAGUGUAACACCCCGAUUUUAUUUUAUUAAUCUAUUUAAAUUAUUAGACUUAAUCGAGUAUAUAUAUAUAUAUAAUAUAUAUAUAUAUAUAUAUAUAUAUAAUAUAUAUAAUAUAUAUAGUGAAAAUUAUGUAUGAAUGUGAUUCCUUUGUUUUGGUCAAAAAGGUUUGGACAAAAUCCUUGAGACGAUUGAUUGUUGUAUUACUUUAAUUUUGAUGAAUAUGAUAGGAAAAUUUAUGAUUGCUAUGAAUUGUAUUCCUUGAUGCCUUUAUUGAAAAAUUUCUAUAAUCUAAUCCUUUGGGAUUUUUGUGAUGUAGGGUGCUUAUACUUAUCAAUAUUAAUUUAUAUUGAUUUUUAUUGUCUUUUUGAAACUCGAAACCAUUCAAUUUAGAAAGAGUUUUUAUAUUUCAAAAAUAAGUUAUGUACUUUCUAUGUUGCCCCAAAUUCUUGGGUAAUUCAUGCAAAAGUAGGAUUUGGUGUUGCUCUUUACCAUAUUCAUUAAAUUUGUAUUAAAAUAGGCGAUCGAAUAAUUAUAUGUUAAAAAUUCUAAUCUGAUUAUAACUCUUGUAUUAAAAUAGUUUAAAUAGAAGGAUGAUUCCCAUGUGUGCUAGUGUUCGAAAUGAAAUUGGUUGUUCUUAGUGUUGAAUGUGGUUCUUAUUGUUGGUGGUAUUUUUAUGCGCACACAUUUUUAUAGACUAGUAUGUUUUCUAAACUAAGUAAUGGAACCUCUAAAAUAUUAGUAGACUCUAAUUUUGAUGUGCAAAAUCUACAGCUUCAUCUUUAGUUUAGAGACAUUUGCAUUGAGUCUUAAUGAUAAUUUUUAAUUUCUGGAAAUAAAUUUUUAUAGAAAGAUGAGACCACGGCACGUACAAAAUAUCAUCAUUGGCUUAUUUAAAAACUUGUGACAGUUUGAACUAACAAAACUUCAUGAAAAUAUCUUUUGCUUUGAUUCAUCGAGUUUUUUAUCAUUGUGAAAUAUCAUUAAAUAGUUGCGACUAUAAUAAAAAUGCAGUAAAGAAUGAAACUAAGAAAUUUAAAAUAUCAUUGCGGCGGCGCAGCUGUACGGCUGCCGGUCUGGUGGGUUCGGCCGGGUUGUCGUUGAUUUCGGUAAUUUCCAAAUUCAAGGAUUAGUUCGAUGAUUUUCUAAAACAUUUUGGUGUCGUUGAUCCUUGUGACCUUUGAGUUAUUUUUAAGUAAUUUUGAGUCAAGUUGCAUGCCUUUAGAGUUUAAUAAAGUUAUCACAUGUGAAAUUUGUCAUUAUAGCAUGUUUGAACACUUUUGAAUACUUUUGAAUACUCUAGAGUCAUUUUUGAGAUUUAAUAAUUGUUUAGAGUUUGUUGAGAAUCCCGUAGAUUAUAUAUAUAUAUAUAUAUAUAUAUAUAUAUAUAUAUAUAUAUAUAUAUAUAUAUAUAAUAUAUAUAUAUAUAUAUAUAUAUAUAUAUAUGAAUUAGUAUAACUUUGAUGAGCUAUGAGUAUAUAAUAAAACGAUAAAUAACUAUGUUUAAAUGUUUUGAGUAUGUUGAUAAAAAUUUUAGCUGAUUGAGUAAUAAUACACAUUUACUUAGUUUUUGAUAAUUUUUUAGUUACAAUAUAAUUAUUAAAUUAAUUAUUGAAUAUUUUGAGUUGAGUAAUUCAGAGGAAUUAUAGUAAGGCUUGAUAAUUGGCGAACUUGUGGUUCAAGAGAGGAACAUGUUGAGUAUAAAAUUUCGAGGAUGAUUUUGAUGAUUAUUUGUGUUGUCUUAUUGUUUUUUUGCCAUUAACUAUGCGCGCGCGGCGCUCACACACACACACACACACCCAUUCACAUAUAUAUAUAUAUAAUAUAUAUAUUAUAUAUAUAAAUAUAUAUAUAUAUAUAUAUAUUAUAUAUAUAUAUAUAUAUAUAUAUAUAUAUAUAUAUAUAUAUAUAUAUAUAUAUAUAUAUAUAUAUAUAUAUAUAUAUAUAUAUAUAUAUAUAUAUAUAUAUAUAUAUAUAUAUAUAUAUAUAUAUAAUAUAUCUAUAUAUUAUAUAAUAUAUAUAUAUAUAUAUGGGAGUUAGGUAGGACUUGGUCCGGUGAGAUUAGGUUCAGAGAGGAACCAUGAUGGUUUCAUGUUCAGAGAAGGACACGGUUCAGAGAGGAACCGGAGACAGUGAUAAAUUAGUGACACACCUUUGAUACCCAAAACCACAGUACCACAUACAUAUUUAAGGAGAAGUUGGUGCAUUUCGCAUUUGCAUUAUAAAUUGUAUUGUUUUUAUUGAUGUUUGAUAAUGGUCUAUGUAUUCUUAUAAUUGUCUUGCUGUUUAGUUUCACCACUAACGUUUGUAAGGAUUAUUAUCACCCAUAUAUUUUUGUUUGUGUGUGACUUUUAUGCCCAUAUUGCAGAUACAUGUAACUUGUAGUCUUUUUGUGUCGGAGAAUGGCGGUCAUUGCCUUCUUCUUUGUUUUUCCAUUUGAUUUAGUACCAUUUGUGUUGCUUUGGUAUUGUGAAAUAGGGAUGGGACGUUGUUUCUUUUAUUUGGAUGGUUGUUGAGUUGUUUUUCGAAACUGAUAUUUUCAUUGAGUAAUUUUAUUUAUGACACCAUGUGAUGGUGUUUUUUAAUGUUUGAUAUUUCCAUUGCGAGUUAUUUAAAGUCAUAACGUGUGUUUUAUUUGAGAAUGUGUGACACCCUUGGGUGAAUUUAUACUCUGAAUUAUUGUACUAUUUUGUGGAUCGGGAAAUAGGUUGUUACAAUCAGCAUCCUUAAUAACCCCUUCAUUUCCUGGUUCAGACCUAUUAUGAACAUCCUUGUUCAUAAGAACAACAUCCUUAUAUGCACUGACAGAGUUCUUAAUAACAUUAUUAAUGUUGUUAAUCAGAUUAUUCUCCAUGAUGUUCUUCAUUAACCUGGAAAAAUAGGUUUUUUUCAACUUCCUCAUUUAAGUCCCUAUUGAGAGAGGCAAUAUGCACAUCCAUUUGAUAUAGUUUGAACUUCAGAAAAACUGACAAUAUUGGACUUAAUAUGAUGGUUCCAAUAAGGGAAAGAGAAUCAUGGACACUCUCAUCUUCAUCACCAAAUAUCAUAGAGUUUCUUGAUUUGAUAGCAACAACUUGCUCCAUAUCAAAAUUCUCUUCAAUAUGGGAAAACCAAUCCUUAGGAGUAGUCAAUCUAUACUCAUUUCUCUUUGUAUCACAUAUCAGAAGAAUGCUCUUAUUCUUAUCAUUUCUUCAUUCAGAGUCUGUUCAUGGUUAUCCAUACCACCAUCCUUAACUUUAGUUGCAUCAUCCUCAACAUCUUCAUGAACUUGAUCAUCAUUCUCCUUAUCCACUUGAGACUUUUUCAACAUGUUGGACAGAAUGUGUGGCACAUCACCAUAUGGACUACUCAAUCUGGUUUCCUCGAAGUCUUCUGCAUAAGACAUUAGAAUAUCAUGAUGAUUUAUCAUAGGAACAGACUUAAGAGGAACCUCACUCAUGCUUUCAACAGUAGCGAGACCAGGCUUAUUUGAUAUAUAUACCUUGUGACUAGGCUUGAGCACACCAGCUUCUGCUUCACCAAACAUCAUAUCAUGUUUUUGUUUAUUCACAAAUCUAAACACAAGAUAAGGAAUUAUGUCAUCUCCAUUGUUCUACGUCAACUUCUUCUUCUGAAUCACUGUAGGUUUUUCGAAAUUAGGAGGACCUCUAGACCAUCAUAAUUCCCUUUAAUAACCCAAUCCUCAUGAUAUCAUUCAGACAUCUGAGAAGGAUGUUGAGACAUCUUGGUUGUUCUUUAUUCAGGUAUAAUGACUUUAUCAAUCUUCUAGUCUUGCACACCAUUGAAGUCUUUCUUAAAUAUGACCUUCUUCAUAAGAACUUAUUUACCUUUGUUGUUGACAAAAUGUUUAGACUUGUUAAAGUGAUCAUGUUCCUCCUUUGAUCACACAAUUGAUUCAUAUUGGUAGAUAAGCCUUUUCUAAGUAGAAUCUCUUCUUGGCCAAAAUUAACCAAUUUCCCUGAGCCUUUAAUUCUUCCAUUUGCUCGAUUUGCAUGAGUUGUCUUAUCUUUAGCCAUGUGCCUGGAACUUGCACUAUUAAAUUACCAACAUUUACUUGAGGAACUUUUGUGUUCUAUGUGUGUUAUGAGCCAGUUUAUGUAGCAUUGUAUUUCCAUUUCUUCUUAACAUGGACUUACUUGCGUCCUCUAAUAUUUAACUUAAGUCAUUCUAAACAAUAAGGCCUUGUAUGUCCAUAUUUACCACAAUUGUGACAUAUCAGAGCUUGUUUCUUGUUGAUGGGGUGACACAUGUAAAGCACGGUGCUGUGACAUGUGAUCCAUCCUCAGAACCCCAGUCUUCUCUUCAGGAAUAACAACCUUCAUUGGGAUAAUCUUCUUGUUUUUAUCUUUCAUGCUCGUCCCAACAUUGAUUCCCUUCAUAUCUAUAGACAUCUCACCAAAAUUUAUUUUUUUCAUCAAGUAAAUUUAAACUAUUUAUGAAUUUACUUUCAGAAUGAGACAUGUUUUCUAGUUGGUAGUUUAGUGAUGAAAUCUUCUUCUCUACACCGGUGAUUGUUGAGGCAAGCUUUUAUGUUUCCUCCUGAAGCACUCCUAUGGUUUUCUCCUAAUUAUCUAUGGUUAAACAUACUUUUUCCCAUUUAGAGACUAAGAGCCUGUAUGUAUCAAGAUCUUCUUCUUUAGUAUUGGAUUCACCAACAGAUUCACAUCGACCAGAAUAAGCCAUCCCAGUUUUGGUAGUUUCUUACUCACUUUUAGAAUCAGACCACGUGGCGGAAAAAUCCCUUUUUUCGUUUCUUUAUAAAUGUAGGACAUUCUUCUUUAAUGUGUCCAAAUCAUUCACACUUAAAGCAUUGAGUACCCUUGUCAUCAUUAGGUUUGUCUUCACUUCCGCCUUUGAUCUGGGGACUGAUGUGUCGGAACAAGAUUCACUACAACAAAAAUGAGUUUAGGCAACAACCAGAAACCGUGGCCAUAUACAUGAAAACCGUAGCGUAAGACGUUAGACUAUGGUUAUUCAGGCGUGGAAUAAGCCGCUGUUGCCUAUUCCAAUAGUCUACGAUUUUUGCAUUUUAGCCAACUAAAAUGUAAAGCGUUGCCUAUAGUAUGUGAAUAGGCCGCACUUUUUGAACUAGUUUUGGACCACGGUUUUGAUUAAGCUACACAAAUCAAACCGUAGUCUAUUAGUUAUAGCAUAGUUUGUUUCCAACUUUAGUCCAUGCUAAACUGUUGCUUAGUCUUCAUACCACAACAUUUAUUAUAUUAAUUUUUUUUAAUUAAAAAUAUUUGUUUAAAUUUUAACAAUCACAAAUUUUAUCAACAUAAAUAUGUUAAAUUAAUGAUAAAUUUUACUGAAAAAUUACAUUAUCAAAAUGAUAAAAAAAAAGUUAAAAUAAUGAUAAAUUUACAUAAAGAAAUUAAAUAUACAAUAAUAAAUACCCUAACUUAUUAAAUUCUAAUCAAUUCUUUUUGCUUAAGGUUUGUUGUAUUUCUAUAUACAUAACGAUAGAGUCAACAAAACCAUGAAACAAAAAUAUAAAGAUAGUUAUAUUUGUGCUUUAGCUCUCAACUUCAUGUGGAUACGUAAUCCUAGCCUUAAUUUCAAUUGUCCCUACAAUAGAAAAAACAAAAAUUGUCCAUGCAAUCAAAAUUCCAACAUAACAUUAGAAGUAUUUUUCAAUACAAGAACAGUCGACAAUAAUAUUAUAACACUUAAGUAAAUUUCUCAGCCACACUUCACAAAUGGAAAACACCCCAUGAGUCCUAGCAAAUAAGUGAGAUUGCAUCAAAACCUUGAUAAUAAUUCAUUAAUAAGACAAGUUACCAUGAGAGGCUAGUUAUUCAGACAACAACCACCAUAAGUUGGAAGCCCAAAAGAACAAUGGCAGACAAAUAAUAAUAGUGUAAUAAAAUAAUCAACAUCUUCAUGAGUACUUACAAGUGCUUGAAAAAAUUAACCUUCUCCCAUCGAUUUUGAGAAGUCCGGCCAAAUUGUUUUAUUUGGAGUUCCAAAUAUUUUUAAAAUUCGGGAAGGAAAAAAAAAGUCAAUAUAGCAGGCAACAACCUUAAUAAAAUUGGUUAGACACAAGAAAACAAAAUUUAUAAGAGAAAAAUGAGAGCAUACAUUCUACCAAUUAAUUGACAUUUAACAUAUAAUUUAUACAGUUGAUCAAAUUCUGUUUUUUUCAUUGUAGACAAUAGUUCGCCCAUUAUACAACCUAGAGAUCAAGUAUCAAUAGUUAUUUAGUACUAUCUUGCCCAAAAUAAGAAGUUCAGCUUCCAUGAGAAACACAGAGAUAAUUCAAUUUCCUCUAUGAAAUUUAAUACUCAACCAGGGGACAACGAAGAACUACUAUAAGUCAGGACAACUAGUCAAAUUUUGCUAUUGGUCCAUAAACCUACUUAAUCUUAAGAAAUUUCUACAUCUUGAAUAGAGAGAUAAUUUAUUCAAAAUAGGGAAUGAUUCAAGACCAAACAUUUAAAAUCUAAAGUUUAAAAAAAAUAGAUUGAAAAAGAAAAAUACUAUUGAUUGAAGAUGGAGGAAUCUAACCUUCAAUAGACUGACCAUGAUAGUGCAUAAACCCUUAUAGAUCUUAGAUGGCAAGAGACAGAGACAACAACAUAACAAUUUCGUUUGCAUUUUCGACUUCCUUGCAGCUUAUGAGAAAUCAACCCUCUUUUGAAAUAUAUGAAAGACGAAAACAUAGAGGAUUGGCCCUUUGAUUAACUUAGUCUUCCUUGUUGCAAGUGAGAAGAAACAAUUUGGAAUUUAGGAUUUGGAUGUGAGAAGAAACAAUUUAGAAUUUAGGGUUUGGAUGAGAAGACAACACAAGACAUGUUUUGGGCUUUGAAGAGAGAUAUUUUUGUUUGAAAAAAAAAUAUGAACACAAUACUUUAUAUUGUUAUAAAUUUUUUACUAAAAGUAAUUUUUAAUUAUAUUAAAUAAAAUAUAAUAAUUUUUACACAUGAUCAAAUCAAAUCAUAUCAUUUUAAUAUUUGUGAGAUAUUCUAGAUGGGUUUAAUGGUGAUGCUCUUACCGUGUAAAUUUUUUUUACAUUAUAUUUAUCUUUUUUCUCAUUUUAUAUUUGUUUAAAUAUGAUUUUUGUUCUCGUAUAUUUAUCUCUUUGAAUGAAUUAUUUUUUAAAGUAUUAAAUAAAAAGAAUGGUUUUUUUAUAUUGUAAAAAAAAUUCAUAUCAGUCAAAAGUAAAAACAUUUAUUUAUAUCUUUUUAUUUUUACAUUGUAACAAAUAUUUUCUAAUUUUUCUAAAACAUCUUCAAAUUAGUAAGAGAAGUCUUCACAUUCUAAAAAAAAAAAAUUGUACUGAAUAUAACUUUAAUUUUAGUAAAUUUGUAUUUUUUAUUUUUUCCUUGUAAAAAAAUGUGAAAGAUAUCCCAUUCAAUUGCAAAAAAUCUUAAAUUUCUAAUUUUAUUUUAUUUUGUACAGUUUUUUAUAUUUAUGACCAUAUAAAAAGUUAUUAUAGAUAUUAUUGAGAAAACUGAUCAAAUUUACAACAAAUUUUUAUUUAACUAUAAUUUUUAUCAGUUUUAAAAAGAUUAUAAAUAUUAUUGUCAAUUUUUUUUUUCUCUUUUACAAUUCUUAUCUAUUUUAGAAUAAAUUUGUCAUAUAAUUUUUAUUUCAUAAACUUUUUAAUAUUAAAAAAUUGAUUUUUUUUCAUACAUUUAAUUAAUCACGAACGUUACAUUUUUAAAUAUAUUUGAUUUAUUAUAAACACAUUUAAAGUUUUGAACAUGAAUAAUUGGAAUGUUUAACGAUGUAAUUUUUUUUGCUUUAAUGAUAAAUAACAAUAAAUGUAUUAUAAUAAAAUAGAAGUUAUGUGUAUGUGAGAGUGAAAAUAUUUCAUGAACAUUGAUUCAAUAUAUAUAUAUAUAUAUAUAUAUAUAUGUAUGUAUGUAUAUAUGAGUUUAUUUAUGUAGUUAAUGUACACUAGUUUGAAUCCCGAAAUGGAAAGACUUUUAAGUUUUUUAUUUUAAAUUCACAAGUUUUUUUUAUCAAAAUGUCAUCUUUAAUAUUAGAUUGCGCUUCUCAGAGGUUACCUUUAAGAUAAAAAAUUACCACACCUUCAAAACCAUGGUUCAAAGUAAAUAAGCGACAGUUUUAAUACACAACGGUUUUCACCAAAAAUCUAGAAAUUUAUCCACGUGUAAAAAACCGUAGUUUAUUACCCUUUAGGCAACGCUUUUUAAGUCGCUGCCUAUUCUUCCGUCGCCUAAAGCUAAAAAUGUUAUAGUGAUUUGUUCAUAUUCCUUGGAUUUUGAUGAUAAUAAAGUACUUAAAGAACAAGUGGGUAUACUAACAUAUGUUCAAGUGUGCAGGAUCACAAGCUUAGUAUUUGACUAUGAAUAUAUCAUGUUAAAAACAUAUGUGGAAGAAGCAAAGUUUAUCAGAUUCUGGAAGAUCAGAAUCUGAUGACUCUGAUUGAUCAGACUUUGAACAAGGUAGUUCUGCCUCUGAAGGUUCAGACUCUGAUCAUAGAUUUCAGCCGCUAGUGACAGCUUAGACUUUGAAGGAUAAAUGUGUCUCUGAUCUGUAUAAUGUACCAAAAGCAUACCAGUCUUGUCAAAGCUUCAAAUUUCUAAAGAGAGUCAACUAGAGUUUUAUUUUGCAAGGCUCAAGGAAUGGUGAUGUGACUUCUUAAGUAUGUUCUACCUUUUUGUAGAUACCUAGCACUUUGAAACAUACUGUGAACAAUACCUUUAUUUAGUGGACAAUGCUUCUAACCAGAUACAUUCUCCAACGCCUCUCUUAGCAUGCUUCUUCACUAAGUUAGAUCUUAUGCUCAACCCUCAAACAACUCUUUUAUCUGCCUCUAUAAAAGGAAGUUGGAGAUUUUAAGGAAGGUCACACCAAUACAAUACAACAACUUGAGCAUAAUUUUGAACUAUUUUUUAUAACUUAUAUUGCAUAAAGUCUUAAGAUGUAUUAUCUUUGUACAUCUUGGAAAUCUUAAGAGUUAAGAACCUUUGUGGUUGUUGUAAAACUAUUAUAUUUCUGAUUGAGUAUCAAAGUAUAGUCGUUAUCUAUUCUACUAAAUUAUUUUUUUAAAUUAGAGGAAGUCUCUUGCUAGUUUUCUUGAGCAAAGAAAAUCUAUUUCCUGUGUGCUUGAGCACUAAAGUCUCUUUCAGGUGUGAUUGAGCAAAGGAAGUUUGUUUCAGCUGUGCUUGAGCAUAAGUAUUUUUCUAGAUUGAUUGAGCAGUUGUAAUCAGGAUUGAUUAUAGUUAAAAACUCUUGUUGAGGCAAACGGGUUGGACUACUCUCACUUGAGGAGAGGAACCAGUAUAAAUCUUUGUGUGUUGCUUUGCUUAUUGUUUCUGAUACAUAAUCUUUCUGAUGCCAUUAAUUAACUCUCACAUCAGACUCUGAACCUUGUUCAGAUUCUUAAAUUGUUCUUAUCAAAAUCGAAAUGUUUUUGACAUGCAUAAUUCACCCCCCAUUCUUAUGUAUUUUUCUCACCUUCAUGAUGUCGAACACGGUGUCCUAGGCAACUGAUUCGAUAAGUUAAACCAGAAACACUACAAUAAAAAGUACUAGACAAUAGAGCAAAAAAGCAGUAAAUAACACGAUAGUUAUUUACCCAUUUCGGUGAAACCACACCUACGUCUUAGGGACUAGUCCACAACCCAAGAAAGGAAAUUCACUAUUAAUAAUUUAGUACACUUAGUCUUACAAGAAACAACAAAACUUGUGUCAUUCAAUGCCCCUUCCUAACACUACUCAAUGACUUUCUAUUUAGGGCUUCCUCUAAACAUGAGAACCUACUCACUUUCUUCUUAAUCACACAAUUUGUGAUUGGAAAUUACAACUCAAAAAUCAAUGUUGAAUACUGUAAGACCCCAAUUUUGAUCCUAAGAUCCCUCAUGGCAUCAUAACAUUGCAUUUGCAAAGUCUCAAGGAUCAUAAGCAUCUUGGUUCCCUUUACCUUUGGGUAGGACCUCUUGUGAGUGGUUUGAGAUCACCAAGCAUGCUUGAAUUGUAUAUUAUUGCUUUUCUUAUUUUGUUUACUAACCAAAAGCACAAAAAUAUGUCACAACAUCUUUUGUUUGUAGCUUGAGCAAUCACAAGGUCAAAAGCUUCAAGGAGAUCAUUGGUACAAAGAUAUGGUCAAAAGAAGAGGAAAGCAAGCAUGGUAAUAGUUCCCAAAGCUCCCCUCCAUCAAAUGAUCUUCCCUAGCAUCUGAAUUCAUCAUUUUGAUCAAAACAAGUCAAAGGGCUUGAGGUUUGUUCCCCAAAGAAACCCUAAUUCAUCUGUGCACCACAAUGCCUUGCUCUUGAAGCAACCUCAGCCCAUGAUCAAAUACAAUAAAGGAAAGUUCUUUAACUUAUCAUUUCAUGCAUAUUUGAACUUAUUUGAGUGUCCUCAAUCAUCAAUUCAUCAAGAUAUGAGUCAUGGACUUGAGAAGUUGAUCAGUCAAUUCAUCUAAUUAUUUUGAAAUGCACUGAGACCUAACUUCUUAUGCGUUGGUCAAAUGGAGAUGAUCCCAAAAUAAAAAAUUUUCUUAAGGACAAUAUGAACAAUUCUAAUGUUUGUCAAAAAUUGAUUUGAAGCUUGGAAGGUCAUCUCCCAUUCCAAGACAUUAUAGGUCAUUUUGACUGAAACCCUAAUUUUGGGUCAACUUCCCAAGGACAUAACUCAUUCAUUGUUUAUGAUUUUGAGAUGGAAUCAAAUUAGUUGGAAAUCUUACGUUGUCUAAUUCAAAUGUUAUGUUGAACAAAAUUUCAAAAUCUCAAAGGAAAUACAUGUGAUAAUGCAAAACAUUAUAGGUCACUUUGGACCAAAUGCAUUGAAAGGCAAAAAAGUCCAACUUCAAGUGCACCCAUACUCUUUCAUCAAAAUCCAAAUGAUGCAAAAUUAAGUCCAUUUUGAUUUUCUUGAAACUAUCUACAUCUUUGAUCUUGGAGGUUUUUUCAUUUAAGUUUUCAUCAUCAAAACAGAGGGGCUUGAACAUUGGCCAAUUUAGAAACUUGCCUUUUCAUGUUUUGCACCUUGCACUUUAAACUCAAAUUUCACCAAUUUCCACACUUCAAAUGGAUUUUUGCCCAACAUAACAAAUGUUCCUUACAUCAAAACCUUUCCAACCAUUACUCACAUGCUCAUGUUUGGAUUGGCAAAUGGCAUUUUCGAAGAGGAGAAGUUUUAGCAUGAUUAUGCAUGACAUGUUGAAACUCAUUAUACAAGCUUGUGCAUUGCCAAUUCCACGACCAUUUCAGCUCAGUUUAUGAUUCAGAGUGCAUUUGGCAUUAAAUUUGGGCCUUUUGAAUGAUCAUGCAAGCCCAUGCAAUGAAUAUCCAAUUCCAUGCACACGGCUUUGAUCACACUACCUUGCCUUUCCAUCUAUAAAUAAGGCCUCACUCCAUUCAAAUUUCAUCCAUGAAUCAAUCUGAAAUGCUGCUGAACUGAAAACGAGCCACACUAAAGGACUAUUCCAAUUUUCUUCAAUUUCUCAGAUCUGAAAUUCAACUAAAUCAGGUUGAAUUCUAGAUCUAAAGUUCCUAGACCUCUCUCUCAUACUCCAUUGAUCUUCUGUUGGCCAAAGGAAGCAAGGAAGCAAGCUCAAAUCUCCAGAAUUCAAGGUUGUUCUUCAAUUGGUUUUUUCUUCGAAACUCACCAUUUAUUGAUCUAUUUGCUUGGAUUUUGUGUUGGCUGAAGUCCUCUUCAUGAGGCAAUUGUUUUGAAUGCUCAAUUGUUGAAAUCCAUGAAGUUCAUGAUGAACACCUCAAGCUUCCAUCUCUGAUUUCUCUCUAAUAGAAAUCUAGAGUGGAAGUGGAUGGUAUAGGAGUGAUGUACAUCACUCCUCUUUCGAUUGAUGCCUGGAUCGCGUGUUUUGACGCACAUUUGCUCUUCUGCAAAUUUGAGCUCUUACCGGAGCUAGCUGGAGAAGAUGGUGGCGCUGGCCACCGUCUGGUCUCCAGAUCCAUCGUGGCCGUCCAUUUUUUUCCAGAUCUAAUCCUGGCCCUUGCUUCUUAUGACUUUCAAUAAUGCUAUGUGUUUCGCUGAUGACUUUGGUACACCAUGGAAGCGUGCAUGUGGAGCGUCUGAUCAGCCACGUCAAUUAAUGAGGCUUGAUCAGACGCUCCUUGUUUUUUGAAUUUCUUAUUUUCUGAUUUUAUUUCUUUUAUUCCCAUUAUUUUCAAAAAUUCAUAUCUUCUUCAUUUUAAUUCCAAAAAAUAUGGACCAAUUGCAUUCUUCCCAAAAAAAUUCUAGUUCCUAAUUCAGUUUUUAAUAUUUUUUAUUUUGUCAUUUGAUAUUUUGUGAAUUUUCUCUUUUCUGGUUAUUUUAAUUCAUUUUAAAUAGUUUUGAUAUUCAAAAAAUACAAAAAUAUUUUCCUAACCUUUUUGAAUGAUGAUGGAUCUAUGAAAAAUAUUCUCAUCAAUUUUUUAAUGAUUUGAGAUUUAUUUGAGAUUUUAGUUCAAUUAGGUUAUUUUUAUUCAUUUUUAUAUGAUAAAAUAGUUUCUGACUUUUAAAAAUGCUGAAUUUUUGUCAAACUUUGUUUGACCUUAUUGAACGUAGGAUAAAUCACUUGGCCUUUCAAGGUUGAUUUGAAGUGAUUUUGAAGUUUGACCUUCCUUUUAUUUUUAAUUCAAGUUUAUUUUAAUAUUAAAAUGCCAAAAAUUUUGCUUAUUGUUUGACCUCAACCUUCAUCUCAUUUCUGAUUUCUCAUUGUUUGACUUUGACUUUCAAUGUCAUUUGGUCAACAUACAUGGAUUGGUACAUUUAUUUCAUCUUAUGCACUUUAUUUUCCCAUUUUCAUCUUCCAUUAUUCAUCUCUUUCUUCUUCUUUUUCUUUUUCUUUAUUUUGAUCAAUGAGUGAAGGUUGAUAAGUUAGCAUUGAUUAGGGAACUUAACCUUCCUUGAUUCAAAUCUAUUCAUCUUGAUCAAUUGAUCAAGUGAAUGGUUUUGCAUUAAGGAUAGGUUGUUUCCUAAAUUAUGCAAAAGACUUAAACCAAUACAAGAUCAAUUCUCUUCUUCUUUUUGGCAUGGCAAGUUGUUGGAACUUGGUUCACUAAUCAAGACUUUCUACUUGUGUUGUUGCCUACAUUAUUAUUAACCGGCCUCAGAUAGUUGUGACUUCUACAUAAGUCCAAUUACGAUUGCUUAACAAGCGCUAAAUUUGCCUUAUGGAACACUAACCACUAACACUAACCAUUAAUAAUUAACAUUUACUUUUUGCUCUUUACUUUAAUGCAUUUACUAUUCUUGCCACAUAUUAUCCAUUUGCUUUUCCUUUUGCUCACUUGAGCACAUGUUUAUGUUAAUGCCAUUUGCCUUUUGCUCACUUGAGCACAUAAUUGUGUAUAUACUAUUGUGCUUGUGUUUUGUUUUGAUUGUUGUGAACCAAAUGCAAGAUUGGACAAAUGGACUUAGACUUUUAGACUUUCCCUAUGCAAAUUUGGAGUCAGGAGCAACUAGGCAUUGGCCUUUUAGAAGCUUAAGCUUGAAGAUGAACAUUGAAAGACCAUAUUCUAAACUCCCUCUUGUCCAUUCUUUUGAUUGUUUAUAGAACCUUUUGAUGUAUGUUCUUUGCUAGGAGUUUCAACUUGAGCUUAAUUGAGAACAUUACCAUGAGCUUCCAAGAGAGAGAGAUCCAGAUAAUUGAGGAAUCUUUCAAGGUUCAUUGACUGUGAUUGCUUGAGUUUAUGCUUAUGUGAUUGCUUAUUCCAAAGGAUGAGAGCUACUUGGAUCAUCAAUAUGAUCCAAGAGAGGACUCCAUUGUGGUUUUGUUUCUUAUCCUUACCUCUUGCAUGCUUAGGAGUUUAGCCCUUCUUCUUCUUCUCUCCACUCUAACCAAGCCAAAACUUUGCGCAAACAUCUAACACUUGUUUCAACAUUAGAAACCUAAGCCUUAUGCUUUUGAUUUCAAACUUGCUUUUCAUAAUACUUAUUUUGAAUUGAAUCUUUAAGUCAACUUUGACCAUUUUGUAUAUAUUCUAAGUGGUAAAUUAACCCAUUCAAAUGUCUUUUUAUGGUUCAAUGGCCACUUUCUAAUCAAAUCUUUUCAUAACCUUUAACUAUAGGUUUGAGUUAUCUUUGUGGUAGAUGUAAUACUCACUAUAUCCUAGUGAUGGACAAUGAGUCUUCCAUGCAUAUUUAGGGUUAACCCCCACUAGCAUGUUAAAGCUAUCCUCACAUGGUAGAUUUGUUGGUUUUAGGUUGAGUUUUCUCCCUUUGAUAACAAAGACCUUAAGGCUUUUGGACCAAUCAAUUCACAAACUUGUUUUGAGAUUUUUACCCCGAACUACGAGGUUUUGAUCCUAAUCUUUUUUAAGAUGGUACGUAGGCAAUGGUUUAUCCAUCCAAACACAAAAAUGUAAAUAACUUGUAUAUUCUCUUCUCAUCCUCAAUCAUGUUUGCACAAACAAUUUUCACAAACAACAACCUUACCACAGUAUGAAAAGGGCUCCUUAGGAGUACCUAGGAUGUGCCUAACACCUUCCCAUUGCAUAACCAACCCCUUUACCCAGAUCUCUGACUCUCUUUUACUAUGUUGAUUCGAUAAAACUUUUUCGGUUUUUGUUCGCUUUCUAACCAUUCCUUUGGAUAAAUAGAAGUGCGGUGGCGACUCGACUUGUAUGAUUUACCUUGGAUUUAGUCAAUAUCUCUAAUGGUAACGAAUACCCCGCUACAAAUACUACCACUCAACUCUAGACAAACCUUCUAUGAUAAAUUACUGAAACAUGGAGGUGUACACACAUCAAUAAUAAAUAAACUCUAGCUCUCUAAAAUCUUUAAUAUAUUACUUGGCUUCUAAUGUAGGUUUUGAGCUCCUUAUAUAGCAUAAUAAUUUUGGACUUUUCUUCAUGGAUUUGAGAUUUGAUUUCCCUCAUAAUUAAUACAGAUUAUGUUGCAUAUUAUUUGUUCCUUAAAUAUCUCCAACAAGAUAUGAUUUAUUUCAAUUUAAAUUCAAAUUUAAAUAUUUAUUUAAAUCUGAAUUAAUCUUCGUCCAACUGUCAAACAAAUCACAUAAUCAUAUUGCUAAAUAAAAGAAAUAAAAAUAACUGAAUCUUCUCAAAAUAUUUAUUUAAAAUGCAGUAAUUUGGCGCUUGUUGAGCAAGACCCAGAUAUCGUACCAACAUGCUGGAGCAUCGCAUCCAGCAUGUGUCCCUUUUACACCUCCAUACAACUUAAGCAAGCUAUAUAAUCUUGAACACUUUGAAUACUUUUCCAUGUUGUUUUUUUGUAAAAUGCAGUCAAUUCAGAGGGUCAAUCCAAUGGGAACUAUAUAUAGGUAUUAAUUUUGGGGAUUACUAAUCCCAACAUAUGAGGGGUGGAAAAACACCUUAUAGAAAUCUGAUUUCAAAAAUACAUCUCCAGACAUACCCUUGCUUAAAUGAAUGAAGCCCCAAAUGAGUGUCACCCCAUAUUAUACAAAAAAAAAUAUUUUGGAGAUGCAUCUUUGGAUAAAUCUAAUCAAUUUAUAUAAUAUUGAGCAUACCGGUAAGUUUUUUGGAAAUUCAUUAACGAAGUUUUGAACCAGGAAUUUGAAAGCAUGUCACCUUUGCAUGUCAGUUAUAUCAGGAGAUGCAUUUUUGGAAAUAUCAAACAUGUUUUUUAAUAAAACAGUCACUUGCAUGACAAACACCAUACCUAUUUUUAAUUAAAACCUUUUCAAAAAAACUCUUUCAUUCUCAAUCAAGAUUUUCACUCCAAACCUCCAUUCUUGUGUUUUAUCAUUAUUUUAAAAGGUAGUUAGAUAUUAUUGAGAUGAUUAGAUGAAGUCUAAUGUUUAUCUAAAAACAAUAUAAAUAAUACUCGAUUAAUUAUUAGAUUAAACCAUCGACUACAAUGUAGCAAAUUUCUUUGAAAGGGGAUGGUUGCAAAUUAAUCAGUUUUAUGUCUAAAUUCACAUCUAUAUCUAAAACCACAUUUAAAAAAUCAGAUUUAUGUUAAAAAUGUUUAAAUUGAUCCAUAUAAAUGGGUAUGGAUUAUAUGGAUUUUAGAACCUGUUAUAAAGUGAAUAUCCAAAUCUUCUUCAUUGCAAAAAACUGUGAAUUUCAUAUUAAGUACUCUCUCUCUCUCUCUCUCUAACAUAUCCAUCACCAAAAAACGUAAGUUACAAACUAAUAUCCAGUCAUAUUUCAGAGGAAUGGCUGAUUAACUUUGAUGGAUGUUGAUAUGUUAGAAGUUGGUUUGGUCUAGGGUCGGUUUAGGAAACCUCAAUAGUAGUAAAUGUGACAUGCAUUGUAGAAGGAUGAGUAACAGCCCAAGUCGGGGGACCAAAUUUGACACUAUGAGCAGUGACAAUAUCAUAAACCUUUAUCAAAGAGUAAUUUUUUGCAAGUACGAACACCCAUAUAAAAAAACCAGGGAGGACUCCACCCUCACUAAAUAUAUAUUUCCUCUACAUGAAAUAGACCACACUCACAAUGGCACGUGUAUCAAUGAAUAUUUUCCUCUGAUAAAAAUAUGAAACUUCGAUAGGGUCAAACCCCUCCUCUUAUCCAAGUCCCCAUUAGACAAACUUUAGGUCCCUCUUCAUUAUAAUCUCUUCGCUAGUAAGAGAGUCUAAUUGGAAACCAUACGAACGAGGCUCGUGAUAGAAGUGGGUUCAAGUCUAGUAUUUCAAAACCUACCCUUACAAGGGAGUGUAAAUUCGGUAGGGCCAGAGCAAAAUGCAAAGUGAGCUUCCCAAGUGCAGGGUAUCACCAACCCAAAGUGCCCUAGAAAGUCGCCCAGUCUUCCAAGAAGGGAUGAACAAGUAAACAUGUUGACAUAGUUGAAUAAGUCCUUGAUUUUGGUUAUUGUAUCGGGAAAGUAUGUAUUAAUACGAAAAUUUGAAGAACGGCCGGUAUGAGAGUUUCCAAGACAUAUGCUCAGCCCAAAAUAUAAACACCUUUAUGAAAUCCCAGGAACCCGACUGAAGCUGAGAUGAGGCAGCCUUCAAGUACUUAAACACUUCCACCUUAAAUUUAGACAUAGUUAAUCACAUGUUUAUCCUGGUGAACAGACACUCAUAAAAAGGGACAUAACCCCCUUCAAAGGUGAUACAUAUCCUUUUUUUUCGGAUCCACUUGAAUGAUCCAUUAAUCAAAAGGAUGACCGACUAUGAUGUUGGUCGCACUUACGCCUCCUAGUCAAUUAAAAUGGAUGGGGUAUCCAUUAUAUCUGAGUACAUCCAGUUGUAUUUACUUGUGUCGGUCAGCUCCGCAAACUUAGCCCUUCUUAAGGAUAACUCAUGGGCCUUAAAGAUCUCAAAGGGGUUAAGCCAGGUAACUCCAUUUGGUUGGGGUCCACAUUCUAGAUGAUCCUUGAUAUCGACAUCACUAGGGUCGUGACCAUAGGCCUCUUGAUAAUCCUUAAUUUAAUCUUUGGCAUCAUCUCUCUUUAGAAUGUCAAUCACCAUUUCCAAAGUCAGUAAAGCAAGCGAAGUCGAAGUUCCUCCAACUUUGGAGGAAGCAGGCACAAAAGUGACUACACAAUCCUCUUAUGCAUCUUUAUCAGAGAAGAUAUCAUCAAAAGAAGAAUCAAUGGAAGAAGCAUACCCAUAGAGCCCUUAGAGAGCUUUUGCGACUCAAAAUCAUCAAUUAUAGAUAUAACCUCGUGGGGUGAUUGAUCCGUGAUUAAGUGGAGAGGAUUUAGACUAGAAGAUACUUCUACCCUAACUAAGGGAGAAGAAUCAUCGCUCAUAGAUUUUUUAGCCAAAUUUAUGAGGUUAUCGUUCAUAUUACCAAUGAUAAGAAGGGUACUUUGGAGAAGGAGAAUCUGGCGAGAAAGGCAAAGUUCAAAUGGGAGCAAGGUUGUUAAAACCACGAUUUAAAACCUAAAUUCUAUAGAUUUAACGUUUCUAGAAUAGCCUUUCAUGUUAAAUUCUAGGUAAAAACAUUUUAUGUAUAAUUCUAUCCUGUAACCAUUUAAAUUGCUCUGAAAUCGAUGAAAUCGUGUAAAAUUGUUGGAUUUUACUCUAUGACUCAAUUUUAAAUUUUUUCCAAUUUUGUAUUUUAGUCUAUGAUAAUCGUUGAAUGAUGAAGACACCGAUGAAGAAGAUGUUUUCGAAGGAUUGAACUUUCAAUUAAAUGGAAGAUAAAGAUGACAAUACUUGAUUUUUAAACUUGAGAAAGAUAUGAAACUCUUAUUUUUUGUAUAAUUUUUUAAAUAUUACUUUUUAUGAUUUGGUGGGUAAUUUAUAUAUUUUAAUACAAAUUUAUGAAUAUUGCACUUUAUUACAGUGAUUUAAUAUAUUUUUUGCUUUAUAAUUAAGUUAGAAUUUUAAAUUAUUAAUGCAUUGACAAUCUCUCUCUCUCUCUCUCUCUCUCUCUCUCUCUCUCUAUAUAUAUAUAUAUAUAUAUAAUCGUGUAUAUAAAUUUAAUAUUAUUUUAUUAUGUGAUAAACUCUAUAAUUUUACGUUUCGACUUUACCUUAGUCAAACGAGUCAAGGUAAAAAAAUCAAUUAUGACAAGGUAGAAUGGGGGAUUGAAGGCUUUGUUCAAAGAAUAACAAUCACUCUAAAAAAUAAUCUUGGAGAGGAAGAAGAAAAGACGACCUCAAGGGGAGCGAAAAGUUCUCAAAAACCUCAAAUAUCAUUAAAUAUGGAAUAAGACAAUCAAUGGAUAUGAUUAGCAGGAGUGAGAAGUUACAAAAUCAAUGGCUAGAAUUCACAUUAGCCAAUGUAAACCGAUCAAAGUGCAACCAAGUGCACUAGGAGGAAGUGUGAUACCCUAAAUUGGUCACGUAAAACCAUGCAUACGGAAAAAUCAAUGAAACGUUUCAAUGAUGGGAAAACAUUUAAUGCAUUUUCUUCCUAUUAUAUUUGUAAUUGAUCCAAAACAUUCCCGCUUUUCUACAAGGUUGAACACCAUUGCUAGAGGUCGGCCACAACUUCGAGGACUUUCCCGACUGAUUUUCAUCCGGCAAAGUCUUGGGGGGAAACUGUUCUGGACCAACCAAAGAUCAAAAGUGAAGGUCCAAUCAAAUGCAAGUGCAAUCAAAAUGACGCAACGUAUAAAGUUAGCACACGUGAGAAUCAAAGUAACACGUUUUUUAUUUUUUUUACUAGACUCAUCUUGGACUCUAAACUGACUUAAGUGUUGGAGUGUUAAGUUUGUAUAUCCACCAUGCGCCACCACAUUAGAGAUUAACACUUUUGAUUCAAGACUUUCUAUCAUAGAUCAAUGUAACACCCUUCUAAAUACCCCAAAUUAUGUAAUUAAAAUAAUAAUAAAUCAAUCAGAGUAAUUAUGCCCCGAAGGGUGUCACACAAUCAUUUCACAACGAUCAUCAUAAUUUCCUGUCAUGCUGAUAUAUUAUUUAAUUGGAAUAUUAUAAGUUGGAAUAAAAAGUCCCAAUUUUGGAACAAGGGUUUUUUCACGUGAAAAGGAAAAGAGAAGCGGCUGAAAGAGAAAAGGGCAAAAGGCAGAACAAGAGAAGAGGAAGAGCUUGAAGCUGCAGAAUUGCCGGAUUAACUCAGGUAAGGGGGUUUAUCGUCGAUUUAACGGGUAUUAUAAUGAUAAUAUGUUCAUGGGUAGUGAUAGACCUUGAAUUACUUCUGAAUUGGCAUGAUUAUGGUGAAUUUGUGAACCUUUGGGAGGAAUGAAAUUGGGGAAGAAUCGAGAGAAAUUCGUAGGGAUUUGAUGUAAACGUGUUAGGUUUGGUGUAAUCAAUAAGACAUGAAUUGUGUUGACAAAUGAGGACGAUUAAUUGAUGUAAAUUGGACUGUGGAAGGUUGGAUCGGAUAGGUUUCGUAAUAGGAAAACCAUUGUAGAUCUGAAAAUCUGGUUUCUGUAGCAGAGGGUUCUGUUCGCGCGCGCGAUUCGGCGGCGCGAAGCCGCGUUCGCGCGGUGCGAACUGUAAAAUCCAGAAGGGUUCUGUGACGACCUUCGCGGCGCGAACCCUCCUGCGCGGCGCGAACUGUGCUGUGCAGAAGUGGAUAUUAAAUUGUGAUUUCUGUGCUGUGGUGUGCAGUUUUGGCUGUUUAGGCUGAGUGAUGUGAUUUAGCUGAGGACCGAUGUAUUAGGGAUCAUUUCCCGUUGUUUUGAGAGGCAUGGUAUUAGUAGGGUGUGCUAAUACUAUGAUUGAUUGUGUGGCAUGAUAUGAUAUGCUUUCGUGAUAAUGUGUUGAUGAUAUGUGGGUGUGCAUUAUGCUGUAAAUGUAUCAGUUAUGUAUGCAUUGUGAAUAACUGUGUAUGACUUAUGGUGUGAGCAUAUUGUCUAUUCUUGAGUUGUUGUUGAUGCUGCAUUGCUAGAUGAUUAGCAUGCAUGGCAUAGCCUGUGGGGCUGUAGCUAAUUCCCAUGGUAGGAAUUAGUGAGUGAAUUCUUGUGAAUUGUUGUUGAUGUUUUGCAUACUAGAUGAGUAGUGUGCAUAGUCUAGCCUUGGCUGUAGCUAAUCCAUGGUGAGGAAUUAGUGAGUGAGUCACUAGGUCUCAAAUGAGUGGACUAGUGAGCUUAGUAGCCGUAUCCGGAGGGAUCGGUGAGCUUGAACUGUAAGUUCAAGAAGAGUCGGUACCGCAUAUGUUGAGUCUCAUUGCAUAAUGAAUGUAUGGCAUAUAUAUGAUGGGAUGUAUUCCAGUAUUAUAUGUGUGUUGUGUAUUGUGUUGUUGAUGUUGAGUAUGGUUGGAGAUUAUCAUAUGUGAUAGGUUGUGGUUGAGUAUGAUAUUUGAAUUGAUGCUGCCGUUUUUGAUGUGUGUAGUCUGGUAGGGUGAUUUGAUGCGUUAGUUACUUAACAUUACAUAAUGUUGUAUAUGCUUAUUAUAUUGAUUGAGGAACUCACCCUUACACCUAUUUUUCAGGUAACGAGCAGUGAGUUGAGUAGGAGCUAGUGCUUGGAGUCUAGUGUAGUCUCCCUAGUGGGGUCANNNNNNNNNNNNNNNNNNNNNNNNNUGAUAGCAACGCUCGGUGCUCAAUCUUCGACUUCUGACAAGUCAACAGGAAUAAACCAAACUCGCAAUUCUCUUUUCAUUCCUGGCCACCAAACAAUCUUCUCAAAUCCUGAUACAUCUUCGUAGCUCCAGGAUAAUACUCAACCCAUACAUUCUCUCAGUACUUUUCCUAAGCUCGUAACAUCCGGAAUGCACACCGAUUACCAAUUUCAAAAUACCAUUCCCUACACUCUGAUUCACCACCUGACCUUGAUUUACUAAGGCAUUUUCAACCAAAGCAUAUCGAUUCUGACCCUCUCUAUCUCAUCCAAAUACACUUGUUAGUUUCACAUUCCCAGUUUUACACUAUUUGUAGUACUCUCACACCAAACUCAGUCUCUAAACUGCUCAAUUACAUCCAAUUCCCUUACCAAACAUAUAAUAAUGUUAAACGAUUUCCGACUCAAGCAUCGGGGCCACUACAUUUGCUUUACCCGGAGGAUAUUCAAACAAAUCUAUCCUUCAAAAUCCUAACCAUCUUCUGUCUCAAUUCAACUCUCUCUGAUCAAACAAAUACUUUAAACUCUUAUGGUCACUGAAACCUUCAAUCUUGACCAUUAUUAAGUAUGCCUCAACUAGAACAAAACACAGCUGCCAACUUCUAAAUCAGUCGGAUGUCCUCUCAUGAACCCUUAGCUGUCCGAGCAUAAGCUAUAACCUGCUUUUCUGCAUUACACACCAUAAACCCACAAUGAAGCAUCACAAUAAACCUCAAUAAUUCCGACGAACUUGAAUAUCAGAUAGGAGCAGUAUGUUAACCUUCUUUAACUUUUGAACCUUCCUCACAUUUUGAGUCCCAAAACGCUUGCCCCCUUCUAGCACAUCGUCAACGAACGCCAACUUAGAAAUCCUUCAAUAACUUCCUAUAAACCAGCCAACCAGAAACUUCGAAUCUCAGCAGAACAGACUUAGGAGCUUCCACUUAAUACCGCUUCUAUUUAGAAGGGAUCAACAAGCAACACACCUCUCGAAUCACUGACCAGAAAAUAACUCUUUCUAACCAAAUUCACACUUGGAUAGUUUAGCAAAUAACUUCUUUUCUCGUAGAACUCCCACAAACCAUUCUCAAAUGCUCAGCAUGUUCUUCUUCAGAUUUCGAAUACACCAAAUGUCGAUCAAUAAACACCCACAACAAACUUAUCCAGUACGGAUGGAAAUCCUUUCUAUCUAUAACUCCAUAAAUACUCCAGCGCAUUAGUCACACCAAAAGGCUUACAGAAUACUCAUAAUGUCACAUACCUUGUUCUGAAAGCAGUCUUCUGAAUAUCCUCAGUUUUCACACGUAUUGAUGAUACCCAAUCUCAAAUCUAUUUUGCUGAACACGCUUGCACCAACCAAUGGUCCAUCAAAAUCAUUCUCCUCGUAACGGAUACCGAUUCUUGAUCGUCACUUUCAUUCAGUUGCCGUAGUCCACACACAACCUCAUGUACCUUUCUUCUAACCAACAACACUGGUGCACCCACGGGACACACUAGACGAAAAAUUUCUUAUCAACAAAUCUUCCAACUGACUCUUCAAUUCACUUUUAACACAGCAGACAACUAGGAGCCAUCGAUAUCGGUCUAUACCAGGAUCCAAUUCAAUUGCACUCAACUUCAUCGUCUGCGAUUCAUUCAAUCUUCAGAGAAACAUACAGGGAAAAAAUCCAAAUCAGAAUAUCACAACACACGGCAAAUCCCAUCAACCAUUUACUCUUUAGACCUCCAAAGUCGUAAUAGAUAAAACAGCUGCCCCAUCAGCGCUCACCUCAUUUCACUUGCGCUUGCAUGAUUAAAAAACAAAUCUUCUCUCCUCAACGUUCGGAAAUACCCAGUUUAUCACAACACAAUGAACUUCGCUUGAGUCUCGAAGAGAAUAUCUAAUUGAACUUUUGGGGUUCUUUUAAACCCAACCAAUAUUCACCCAACAGAUAAGCGAUCAAUUAUGACUACUACCAGAGACACACAAGUCUAUCUCAAUUCCCUACAAAAAUAUCAAGGGACACUUAGACAAACUGAGUAGUAGUCACGUUGAGUACUCCUUCGCCAGGACGUAUCAGUAUCACUACUACCAAACAUCUCAAUUGAUAUCCAACUAAAGUUCAACAGCACCAAUCCAAAAUAAAAGAAUGAAGUUCCGCACCUGCAAUAAAGCUACAAGAGGAAACAGCCAUUAAUACAAAACACCUACCCGGAUCAAACAAUCAUUGUCAGGGCCCAUCGCACCGGCUCGAACCGAUAACAAAACUUCCGGCCCCUGAUGCUGUCUUUCUUUGCUAUCUGUGACCGAUGCUUUUGAGCAUUUUGGAGCUGAGACUUGAGUCUAUCGUCAUUACCUAUGUUAAUAUUGUUAAGGAAUUGGUGGAUUAGUUAGAGCCAGUUUAUAUGAGACCCUGAUUAAAGAUCCCAACUCUAGAUUUGAACAAUACACUAGAGUUUACGGUCUUUGGUUUGGUCAACCACACUCUUUGCACCAACUGAUGACCACCUUUUCCACAACUUGAAACAUUUCAUUCUCAGCCACUCACACUCCGUGGGUAUACUUACGAAUAGUAGCACUUACUGGAAAUGUGGAAACUAACAAGUGUAUUUUGGUUCGAGUGUUCCAGACCCGAUCGAGCAAUUCAGAGAGUGUUGCUAGCACCCGGGCAUUAGUAGAAUCUCCCCCACUACGCCUCUCAUCCACUCUGCCUCUGACAACCAGGUCAGAAUCCGAUGAUGCUUCUUGCCAGUCUGUGCGAACUUGAUAAUUUCGAGCGUUUAUGUAUAUCCAUCAAGGAUCCGAGACAAUUCUAAUUCGUGGCGCCGUUUGGGCAUCGACUCGGUGCUGGGUAGCUCUCAGCUCGCCUUGGAAUCCUGUCAAAUCCUGGGUGCCAACAGUCGACUAAAUCAGGAAAACACUCUAUCCGUGAACCCCAAUCGCCUGCUUAGAUUCCUCGGGACGCAGCCCGUUCUCAAACUACAGUACUGUAGAAAAAUCCCCAGCAGCCUUCAGCGAUUGACGGGGAGUUAGUGUGAGUCUCGACAGCUCGUUAGAAUUCCUUUAGAAGCAUGAGUGCAUACCAUCCUAACAGAACCUGGCCAUGUAUUGCUUUCGAAAUUCCAAUUAUAAGAACUCUUCCCUUCUUUCCUUAUCUGGACAUCCUCUGCGAAAUCCUCAGAAUCUCUCUCUGAACACUGCCCAAACGUGAUCUCAGCAUUCUCAGCAAUUCAACUCAGGCGGACAAGGUGUGCCAUUCCGAUGUUACCGCGCUUAGAAAACCGUAAUCUCCGAAGGUUAAAGCAUCCUGAGUGGUCUUGAGUAUGUCUCUAUCUCCUUAGCUGACAUAAGGAAUGUUAUCAAGCUUAUAGAUUGAAGAAGUUGUUUUCUGUCACCUGAGCAGGAUUAUGAACAGUAGAUUGCCGAGGUUUUUUAUUAUCCAUGUCUUGACUGAUCCGACGAUCGAAGAUUAUGUUCAGCAUGCAGAAAAGCCGUCUAGUCGCUCAUUAGUCCAGCUCGCUUGGCCCUCAUUCCUAGUGGUGGAAGUGGAGCACCACUCUUGUGCGCGUAUUUGCGCCCUAUGUAUAUCAAGUAUUGGGAUUUGUUUACGGUAGGUUCGCUUGGAAGCUCACGCAGUUACUGCGGAGAGCACGGCCUUCCACACGAUGUUAAGAUCUGGCUAUUUGGGUGUUGUGAUACUCCACAACAUCUAGCACCUCAGUUCAUAUCCCGACAGAAAUGGCCCAGAUAUCCGUUAGAGAGAUUAGCCACCCAGAGUUGUAUAUUGAGAAGAUUGAACUUGCUGGGUAUUCCGAGCUCGCGAGUAUCUGUUUCGACGACAGAAUGCCGCGCUAGAUUACAUCGCAAAGUUCUUCGAUGCGUUACUUAGGUUCCUUACAGCCAAAGCCUUAGUGACAUCUAACGUUGAGGAUGAUCGAUUAAAUGACAUAUCCCAUCACGCAGACUAGCAAGCCAAACAAAGAAGUAACUUUCGGAGACUUGAAACGAGCAGACAACGCAUACAAUGCCACUAGAGUUACAUGCGUUUUGAGAGCUUUUUCUUGGAAAAAAGGACAGGUGGGCUUGAGAUUGUUAAUUAUUUACCGCAGAUUGCAUUGUCGAGCUUUGACCACGAUACAAAAACAGUUUUCAUUCGAGUAUUGGUAUGCACCGUUUGCAAGCCUGGUAAUGUAGGAAUGUCGGAAUCACCUUGCUUAUCGUUGUUAAUGCCGUUACCGACGCGAGACACACCGGUGCUCAUGGAUUGCCACCGGAAAUUGAAUUUACAUUAAACUCGAGAAAAUGAAUUAAAAGGUGAUUACAACAUGAAUCAAGAUUGCUCAAGAGUCGUCGGAAGAGAUUUCAUGAUAAGAGGAGCGGAAGAUUACACUGUUGAGUCCCCCGAAGAGGGAGUCUGUGUUUAAUUACGGUGGUGACUUCCCAGCAACAACUAUCAUUUCACUGAAAACGAUCAUCAUUUAAUCCGGCAGCUUUCUGAAUAGUCCUACAUAUUGAAGUUGUAUUAACUCCUCCAAGUAAAUACAGAUUAGUAUUAUCGGUGCAAUACGCACUAUCGUUUUGCGAUUAAAAAAGCAGAUUUAGGGGAGGUAGUUCAAUUCAUCUUAUCGCAAUACAUUUCGUCAACUAUUACAGCAAAAUCACAAUUUCCGCCCGCAAUCAUAAUAUCGUGCACUAACAUUUGCGCGAAUUUGCCAUACUGCAUGUUUGUAUCAUGUGUACAUCCUACAGUUGUCAAGGAAGAUCCAUUGAUCAAUCCAUCCGUCGCAACUUAGUUGGUCAAACAGCUGAAGCUAUCGAUCGUAACAGGCAGCUAAGAGUUAACCUGACUGCUUUGAAACCGCAAUACCAUCCAUGAUGCAGGAUCGAGGUGACUCUCGGAGAAGAUUGAAAAAGUCAGUUUGGCCGUUUUAAGGGUGAGUUCCUCAUCAAAUAAUAACAUAACAACAAAAUUAAGUACUUCAAGCUAAAGACAAGAAUUCGCCCUUGAGCUCGAAAACACACGGACUUUGCUAUAGAAGACAGCAGGACCGCAACCAUCAAUCCAAAUAUUCAACUCAACCAAACCAUCACAGAUGUAUAAGCUCCAACCAUUACCAAACACAACAAACGACACAACACACAUAAUACGGGAAACAGUCCGGUGCAUAGGCUAAUUAGAUUGCCACUAGGUACAGGCAACUGGAAGCGAUCAAUGAGACUCAAAUGACAAGGGAACGUCUAUUCAGAGUUUCGCUUGAGUAGGUUUUCAGGAUGCGACAACUCCUUCUUUACUGUGAACGGGAGAGUGUACAGUGUAACACAUUCCCAAUUGGAAAUAAUAUUAUCAACCAUUUGACACUUUCAGAUUACUAUUGAUAUAUUAUAUCUUACCUUAUUGACAAUAAUUGGCUAAUCAUUUGACUUCGCACUUCAGUAAACUUCUAUUAAUGUAUUACUUUAUAGGGCACUAAUAAUCAUUAUAAUUUCGCAAUCCAUACUCUUUUUGGAGUAAAAUAAGUAGUCUGGAAUCAAAGAGCCCAAAAAGGUCCCAUUUUGGAACAACGGUGUUAACUCACAUGGCGUGAGCAAACAUAGGAACAUCAGAGAAGCGGCUCUAGAUUGGCAAAAACAAAAGGGCAAGUCAAGAGCAACCGAUGACAACAAGAAAAGUUCGAACGAUCGACGAGUGAGCCUCUGACGCUGACCAUUAGAAGUUUGCCAGAUUUAUACCUCACGAGUAACGCGCCAGGCUUUAUCGCGCAUUUAAUCGGAUGCGCAUAUAUAUUGACUUAAUAUGUUACAUGCAUCUUGCAUAGGAUAGCACAUUGAAUUACUUCUGAAUGGCAUGAUUCAUGCGUGAAUUGAUGAACCUUUGGGAGGAAUGAAAUGGAGAAUCGAGAGAAAUUCAGGUAGGGAUGAUAGCAUAAACGACUCGAUUAGUUUGGAUGUACUCAUCUAAGAAUGAAAUAGAGACAGCUGAUUUGACAAUGAGGAACAAAUUAAUUUGAACAUAGUAUAAUAUGGCAACAGUCUACUUUCACAAGACAUAAUAACUUCGACUACAUUACCCAGCUUAAUGGCCUGUAGGCCAUCAAAGCGUUGAUCGGAAUUAGGUUCCGUAAUAGGAAAACCAUUGUAGAUCUGAAAUCUGGUUUCUCUGUAGCAGUAGUUUUCCGCGCAGCCGUUCGCGGCGCAAGGCCCCAGCUCGGAGCAGGUCAAUCAUCGUCAAGCAAUCCAGAAGGCGUUCUGUGAACCGCACAAUUCGUGCCGCAUAUUCGAACCUCCUGAGCCCAGCGCCCGCGAACUGUGCUGUGCCAGAAGUGGUAUUAAAUUUGAUUUUGUGCUGUGGUGGUCAGUUUUGGACUGUUAGGCUGUGAGUGAUGUGCAUUCUAGCUGGUGACAAUAUUUGGACAUCGUUGUAUGGAGCAUACCGGUAUAUAGGGUAAAUACUAUGAUGUUUGAUGAGCAGAUAGUGAUUAUAUUCUGUGUAUCUUAUUGUGUAUGAAGUGCUGUCUGCUCUGAUUGAUGAAUGAUGUGGGUGAUGCAUUAUGCCGUAACAUGUAUAGUUACAUGCCUAGCAUGAGUGAAUAGCACUGUAGUAAAUGAAACUUCCACGCAGUGGUUGAUGGCCAGGUGGGGCAUCGAUUGUCCUUUUGAGUUGUUGUGAUGCUGCAUUGCUAGAUGAUUAGCAAUGCAUGGCAUAGCCUGUGGGGCUGUGCUAAUUCCAUGGUGAGGAAUUAGUGAGUGAAUCUUGCUGAAUUGUUGUUGAUGUUUGAAUUAGCAUGAAGUAUUGCGUGCAUUAACUUAAGCCAUUGGUGCUGUAGCAUGCCCAUGUGAGGAAUUAGUGAGUGAGUCACUAGGUCUAAGAUGAGGGACUAGUGAGCUUAGUAGCCGUAUCCGGAGGGAUCGGUGAGGCUUGAACUGUAAGUUCAAGAAGAGUCGGUCCGCAUAUGUUGAGUCUCAUUGCAUAAUGAAUGUAUGGCAUAAUUGAUGGGAUGUAUUCCAGUAUUAUAUGUGUGUUGUGUAUUGUUGUUGAUGUUGAGUAUGGUUGGAGAUUACAUAUGUGAUAGGUUGUGGUUGAGUAUGAUAUUUGAAUUGAUGCUGCCGUUUUUGAGUGUGUAGUCUGGUAGGGUGUUUGAUGCGUUAGUUACUUAACUUACAUAAUGUUGUUAUGCUUAUUAUAUUGAUUGAGGACUCACCCUUACACUAUUUUUCAGGUAACGAGCAGUGAGUUGAUAGGAGCUAGUGCUUGGAGUCUAGUGUAGCUCCUAGUGGGUCAUGCUCUGAUAGAUGUACAUCGGGAUGGGAUGUUUGAAUAUUUUAUUGAUUGGUUGGGAAACCAUUUUGCAUGAUUAUAUCAUGUUUGGAAUAAUUGAGCUGUUUUCUAUCCGCUGCGUAUUAUGCAGAUACUUUAUAUAUUUGAGUUAAUAACAUGAUUAUUCCAAUAAUUAUUAUUCCCAAAAUAAUAAUAAUAAUCCAAAAUUCCAAUUAUUCAAUUAAAUUAAUAAAUAAAAUAUUAAUUUAAAUUAAAUAAUUAUCUUAUUUUAAUUGGGGUGUUACAAUCAACACCAAUUCUAGUUCAAGUACAUAGGACAUUUCAAACCAAAUUAAUAGAAAAAAAUGGGCGAUUCUCAAUUCAACUGCAAUCAAUCGCAUUCAGGGCCGUCCUAGAAUGGGUGCAAGGUUGACUAUUGCACUGUUAGUUGGAAUUUUCAACAAAGGAAAAUUCCUCAACAAAUAGGUCAGAGUAAGAGACAUGUCAACUUUUUGAUAAGUUGUGCGUAGUCUUGGGUCCCAGACAAGGAUAAAUUGGGACUUAACAGUUUCUUGGAAUAUUGUGGAAACAUUUCGACAGCAGGUUCUCGCCAGCAGCAACUGCGUCGAGGAAACAAUUAUUUGGGCGCGUGGAUAUCGCGUUUAAAUAUUAUAAUUGCUUUUGGAGUUACAUUCUGAAGGACACUUGGAGGAAAUGCAAGACGAAAGGCAUGCAUGCGUCUCCGUGGCAAAAGCUGAAGAUUUGAACGUUAAGAGCAGUCAUUUCAUACUAGUAUAUAUAGGGAUUCCAUUUGUAGAACUAUGGGUGUUCAUUUAACUAUAAAAUCUCACUUACACUCGAAGUAUCAACGCUAAGAGAAAAGAGUAUUCAUUGAGAGAAUGUAUGAAUCAUGAAACAUCAAAUCUUUACUUUAAUGCAAAAGUUUUUCAACUCCAUUUACUUUUCCAGUCUAAUUACUUUCGUUUACACAUCUUUCAAUAUUUUCUUUUCACUUUUGCUUUACUGUAGCAAAUCUUCUUUAUUUUUGUCAAAAUUACACUUUUUACAUUGUCACUAUGACUAUUUUGAUUGAGUCGAAGCAACGUCCUUUCUUAAAAGUAAAUCACAAGCCAGUGUUAGCACAAUGUCCUAGGAUUCACUAGUCGAUCCUGCCUGUAACCUUUAAUUUAGAGACUAGCAGUUGUUUACGAAAUUCCAGAGUAAACACGCACAAGGUCCAAAAAAUUUCACGAUUAAACUGUAGCUAAAUAUGUCUCAUUAAAUGGUUGUCACGGUUAAACUGUGGUUAAGUAGAACCUCUAUUUUUUAAAAAAUUAAAUUACGACUUAUUUACUUUGGAUCUCCAAAAAUAUGAGACGGCUCCGUUCGCAUUCAUAUUAAUUCUUGAUCAAAAAGAUGACAUUCCUAUACAUUUAACAUAAUCUUGUGAACACAUAUUGGAGCUGGUUGAAGAGUGUGAUUCUUUACAAAUUUCAUUUCUUACCUAUUUAUUUUUAGCCAUGUCUUGAUGUCGAGGACUAAGAUCCAGAACGUAUCCAAAAUUCAAGGACUUGUUGGAAGCAUUAAUGGCCAUGCACAUGAAUAUGAUUACAAAACCAAUGUCAAUAAUACACCGUGCCCUCACUUAUCUCAUAAAAAAACACUAAACUUGUUCAUCAUUAAUCUAGGAUCAUGAUGAAACGUUAGUGCACAUGGUUUGACUUCUCAAUGUUCUCAUAAACCACUUUUGCGUAUCUCUAAACUUAGAUAGACAAAAUAUAAAACAAAAACAUCUUUUAUUUAUCAAAAGAGAUUCUAAAUAACAUAACUACUAGUAAUAUGAAAUUAGUUGUAUAAUUUGAAUUGAAUUUAACGCUUUUACUUAAUUCAAACUAUCAAAGGUUAAAAUUCCAAUUUUUCUUCCUAGCUUUUCUAAUUGAUCUCUUUUGAAAAUCUUAGUAAAUAAGUCAGUCAGCAGCUCUUGUGUAGGGAAAGAUUAAACUAUCAACUUGUCUUUAUUUGUUUGGUUUCUUAGAAAAUUAAAACUUGUUUCAUUGUGUUUAUUGAUUCUUACCGUGACAAAUAGGAUUCAUUGAUAUGCUAUGACCGAUUUGUUGUCAAAUCUCAACUUUACUUCAAUAUUACCAUUAAUAUGUUGUAAUUAAUGAAGAAAUUAAUAGAUAAUCGUUGGUGUGUUCCAAUUAAAAAUUUAAUUCACUUUAAUGUUCUUUAUAUAGACUAGCGUUCAGACGGACACUCCUAUGUCCGUCUGCCCGCUUUUUUUAAUGCGCAAAACAGAGAAAAAUAAGUGUCCGUUUUUCUUUUUAUGAGGUUUCUAUUGUAGGUCGCAUUAAAAAUAAUAUUAUUACAUUUUGAAAAUGAUAAACAAAGAUAUUCAAAAUUAUAUCGAAGCAUGCAAAAUACUAUUGAUACUAUUUAAUCAAUGACGUUCUUUAAGAGGAAUGUCAAACAUGAAAUCUUUAUUCGAAGUAUUUUCUUUUUCCCUGCAAUUGUUUUCCAUAGUAAAGAAAAAAUGUAAGAUUCUCAAAUUAGAUUUUUUUUAGAGAAAAAGAUAGUAAAAUUAAUAGUAAGUAGUGUAAUAUAGUUUUUUUUACCUUAUAAAGAUUCGAAUCAAUUCUUCGUACAUCCCUUUAUCAAUGCGCUAUUGAGAUUUAAAAAACUAAAAAUACAUGACGGAAUGUCGUAUCAUCAAAGAAAUACAUUCAAAACAUUUGACUCGCUUGAAUAUAAUAUGGGUUAUUGUGACAAAAAUAAUGUAUACCUGGAGAAUGAAGAUACUUUGUUUUAGUCUAGAUUUGGUAGAACAACAACUAUGAAAAUAUUAACAAUUUCUCUUUUUUUAGUCUAGAUUUGGUAGAAUAACAACUAUGAAAAUUAGAUCGAAGCAUGCAAAAUACUAUUGAUACUAUGUAUAUCAAUGACGUUCUUUAAGAGGAAUGCCAAACAUGAAAUCUUUAUUCGAAGUAUUUUCUUUUUCCCUGCAAUUGUUUUCCAUAGUAAAGAAAAAAUGUAAGAUUCUCAAAUUAGAAUUUUUUUAGAGAAAAAGAUAGUAAAAUUAAUAAUAAGUAGUGUAAUAUAGUUUUUUUUACCUUAUAAAGAUUCGAUCAAUUCUUCGUACAUCUCUUUAUCAAUGCGCUAUUGAGAUUUAAAAAACUAAAUAAUACAUGACGGAAUGUCAUAUCAUCAAAGAAAUACAUUCAAAACAUUUGACUCGCUUGAAUAUUAUAUGGGUUAUUGUGACAAAAAAAUGUAAACCUGGAGAAUGAAGAUACUUUGCUUUAGUCUAGAUUUGGUAGAACAACAACUAUGAAAAUAUUAACAGUUUCUCUUUUUUUAGUCCAGAUUUGGUAGAAUAACAACUAUGAAAAUUAUAUCGAAGCAUGCAAAAUACUAUUGAUACUUUGUAAUCAAUGACGUUCUUUAAGAGGAAUGCCGAACAUGAAAUCUUUAUUCGAAGUAUUUUCUUUUUCCCUGCAAUUGUUUACCAUAGUAAAGAAAAAAUAUAAGAUUCUCAAAUUAGAAUUUUUUUUAGAGAAAAAGAGAGUAAAAUUAAUAGUAAGUAGUGUAUUAUAGUUUUUUUUACCUUAUAAAGAUUUGAUCAAUUCUUCGUACAUCCCUUUAUCAAUGCGCUAUUGAGAUUUAAAAAACUACAAAUACAUAACGGAAUGUCAUAUCAUCAAAGAAAUACAUUCAAAACAUUUGACUCACUUGAAUAUAAUAUGGGUUAUUGUGACAAAAAAAAUGUAUACCUGGAGAAUGAAGAUACUUUGCUUUAGUCUAGAUUUGGUAGAACAACAAAUAUGAAAAUAUUAACUGUUUCUCUUUUUUUAGUCUAGAUUUGGUAGAAUAACAACUAUGAAAAUUAUAUCGAAGCAUGCAAAAUACUAUUGAUACUAUGUAAUCAAUGACGUUCUUUAAGAGGAAUGUCGAACAUGAAAUCUUUAUUCGAAGUAUUUUCUUUUUCCCUGCAAUUGUUUUCCAUAGUAAAGAAAAAAUGUAAGAUUCUCAAAUUAGAAUUUUUUUNNNNNNNNNNNNNNNNNNNNNNNNNNNNNNNNNNNNNNNNNNNNNNNNNNNNNNNNNNNNNNNNNNNNNNNNNNNNNNNNNNNNNNNNNNNNNNNNNNNNNNNNNNNNNNNNNNNNNNNNNNNNNNNNNNNNNNNNNNNNNNNNNNNNNNNNNNNNNNNNNNNNNNNNNNNNNNNNNNNNNNNNNNNNNNNNNNNNNNNNNNNNNNNNNNNNNNNNNNNNNNNNNNNNNNNNNNNNNNNNNNNNNNNNNNNNNNNNNNNNNNNNNNNNNNNNNNNNNNNNNNNNNNNNNNNNNNNNNNNNNNNNNNNNNNNNNNNNNNNNNNNNNNNNNNNNNNNNNNNNNNNNNNNNNNNNNNNNNNNNNNNNNNNNNNNNNNNNNNNNNNNNNNNNNNNNNNNNNNNNNNNNNNNNNNNNNNNNNNNNNNNNNNNNNNNNNNNNNNNNNNNNNNNNNNNNNNNNNNNNNNNNNNNNNNNNNNNNNNNNNNNNNNNNNNNNNNNNNNNNNNNNNNNNNNNNNNNNNNNNNNNNNNNNNNNNNNNNNNNNNNNNNNNNNNNNNNNNNNNNNNNNNNNNNNNNNNNNNNNNNNNNNNNNNNNNNNNNNNNNNNNNNNNNNNNNNNNNNNNNNNNNNNNNNNNNNNNNNNNNNNNNNNNNNNNNNNNNNNNNNNNNNNNNNNNNNNNNNNNNNNNNNNNNNNNNNNNNNNNNNNNNNNNNNNNNNNNNNNNNNNNNNNNNNNNNNNNNNNNNNNNNNNNNNNNNNNNNNNNNNNNNNNNNNNNNNNNNNNNNNNNNNNNNNNNNNNNNNNNNNNNNNNNNNNNNNAAGAGAGAUGUUAUUGUGACAAAUAAUAUAUCCUGAGAAUGAGCAUACUUUGUUUUAGUCUAGAUUUGGUAAGAACAAACUAUGAAAAAUAUUAACAAUUUCUCUUUUUUUAGUCUAAGAUUUUGGUAAGAAUACAACUAUGAAAAUUAUAUCGAAGCAAUGCCAAAAUACUAUUGAUACUAAUGUAAUCAAUGACGUUCUUUAAGAGGAAUGCCAAACAUGAAAUCUUUAUUCGAAGUAUUUUCUUUUUCCCUGCAAUUGUUUUCCAUAGUAAAGAAAAAAUGUAAGAUUCUCAAAUUAGAAUUUUUUUUAGAGAAAAAGAUAGUAAAAUUAAUAAUAAGUAGUGUAAUAUAGUUUUUUUUACCUUAUAAAGAUUCAAUCAAUUCUUCGUACAUCCCUUUAUCAAUGCGCUAUUGAGAUUUAAAAAACUAAAAAAUACAUGACGGAAUGUCAUAUCAUCAAAGAAAUACAUUCAAAACAUUUGACUCGCUUGAAUAUUAUAUGGGUUAUUGUGACAAAAAAAUGUAAACCUGGAGAAUGAAGAUACUUUGCUUUAGUCUAGAUUUGGUAGAACAACAACUAUGAAAAUAUUAACUGUUUCUCUUUUUUUAGUCUAGAUUUGGUAGAAUAACAACUAUGAAAAUUAUAUCGAAGCAUGCAAAAUACUAUUGAUACUAUGUAAUCAAUGACGUUCUUUAAGAGGAAUGUCGAACAUGAAAUCUUUAUUCGAAGUAUUUUCUUUUUCCCUGCAAUUGUUUUCCAUAGUAAAGAAAAAAUGUAAGAUUCUCAAAUUAGAAUUUUUUUUAGAGAAAAAGAUAGUAAGAUUAUGAGUAAGUAGUGUAAUAUAGUUUUUUUUACCUUAUAAAGAUUUGAAUCAAUUCUUCGUACAUCCCUUUAUCAAUGCGCUAUUGAGAUUUAAAAAUCUACAAAUACAUGACGGAAUAUCAUAUCAUCAAAGAAAUACAUUCAAAACAUUUGACUCGCUUGAAUAUAAUAUGGGUUAUUGUGACAAAAAAAUGUAUACCUGGAGAAUGAAGAUACUUUGUUUUAGUCUAGAUUUGUCCGCUUUUUUUACUGCGCUAACGCGUGAAAAUAUUAACAGUUUCUCUUUUUAUAAGUUUGAUUUUAUAUAAACUAUUUAUAUGAUGAAACAUAUGGUAUUUAUUCAGACACAUAUUAAAUUUUGUUUGCAAUGUAAUAUUCUUUGUAUUAAAUUUUGUUUGAAUUGAGAAAACCGCAUUGUGACGUGACGUUAUUCAACCAUUUUUUUUAAACAAAUCAUAAUGUAAGUGGAAUAAAUUGGUGAUUUGGAAUACCGUAUUAUGAAAAAAGAAAAUAGGUGACACCAAAAUUAAGUUUUGUCUUUAUACAUUGUUAUAGAUUGUUCAAAACCAUAAGAAGAUUUAGAUAAAAUAAGAAAAAAAAUGUUUCUCACAGUUUAUUGAGCAAAUAAACAUAAACUUUAAAAGAGAGAUAAUAAGUGACAUUGUUGCUUAAUAGGAAGGUCAACCAUAUAAUCAAAAUCAGAACUCUCUCUCUCUCUCUCUCUCUCUCUCUCUCUAUCUGUGUGAAAACUGAAACAAAUUAUCAUCAUUGAAAAGAAUGAAACAUAACUGAUAAUAUUUUUUUUUACUAACUUCAAAAUUAUAAAUUAUCUAAUCGUAACAAUAAUAAAUGUCUUUACACUAAUCUUUUUUCAUUUAAAUGAAUAAUUUGUAGUAUUUAGUAUUUGUCUUUAUUUCAAACAAUUAUAUUUUAAAUACUUUUGAGCAUUUGUAUUUGAAAAUAUUUAAAUAGAAAUUUUAUACAUUUAGAUUUUUUUAAUUAUUAUAUCAAAUUAUUAUGCAAAUUAGUUACUAUAUCAAAUUUAUUGCAAAAUUAAAGCCAUAUAUAUAUAAUAUAGAUAAUUUUAUAGAGAUUAUAUAUAUAUAUUAAUUAUUAUAUAUUAUAUACGUAAUAUUAUAUAUAAGAUAUCAUUAUAUAUUCUAUACAUAUAGUAAUUAUAUGUAUAAUAGGUAGAAGAGAAAGGGGAUAAGGUAAGGAGAGAAGACGUGGAGAGAGAGAGAGAGAGAAGGGAGAGAGAGAGAGAGGAGCGAGAGGAGGACGAGAGGAGGAGAUGGGAGAGGAAGAGAGUAGAGAGAGUAGAGACGCGAGAGAGAGAGAGAAGAGAGAGAGAGAGAGAGAGAGAGAGGAGAGAGAGAGAGAAGAGNNNNNNNNNNNNNNNNNNNNNNNNNNNNNNNNNNNNNNNNNNNNNNNNNNNNNNNNNNNNNNNNNNNNNNNNNNNNNNNNNNNNNNNNNNNNNNNNNNNNNNNNNNNNNNNNNNNNNNNNNNNNNNNNNNNNNNNNNNNNNNNNNNNNNNNNNNNNNNNNNNNNNNNNNNNNNNNNNNNNNNNNNNNNNNNNNNNNNNNNNNNNNNNNNNNNNNNNNNNNNNNNNNNNNNNNNNNNNNNNNNNNNNNNNNNNNNNNNNNNNNNNNNNNNNNNNNNNNNNNNNNNNNNNNNNNNNNNNNNNNNNNNNNNNNNNNNNNNNNNNNNNNNNNNNNNNNNNNNNNNNNNNNNNNNNNNNNNNNNNNNNNNNNNNNNNNNNNNNNNNNNNNNNNNNNNNNNNNNNNNNNNNNNNNNNNNNNNNNNNNNNNNNNNNNNNNNNNNNNNNNNNNNNNNNNNNNNNNNNNNNNNNNNNNNNNNNNNNNNNNNNNNNNNNNNNNNNNNNNNNNNNNNNNNNNNNNNNNNNNNNNNNNNNNNNNNNNNNNNNNNNNNNNNNNNNNNNNNNNNNNNNNNNNNNNNNNNNNNNNNNNNNNNNNNNNNNNNNNNNNNNNNNNNNNUCUCUCUCUCUCUCUCUCUCUCUCUCUCUCUCUCUCUCUCUCUCUCUCUCUCUCUCUCUCUCUCUCUACCUACUUAAUUUUGCAUAAAUUUGUAUAUAUUAACUUAAUUUUGCAUAAAAUUUGUAUAUAUUAAUUAAAAAAAUCUAAAUUUAUAAAAUUUCUAUUUAAUAUUUUCAAAUACAAAUGCUCAAAAUAUUUAAAAUUAAUUGAUUUGAAAUAAAGACAAAUACUCAAAAUAUCUAAAAUUGAUUCAUUUGAAAUGAAGAGAAGAAUUUAGUGUGAGACAUUUAUUAUUGUUAACGAUUAUGAUAAUUUAUAAUUUUGAAGUUAAGUAAAAAAAAUAUUUAUCAGUUAUCUUUUCAUCUUUUAUUCAAUUUUAUGAUUUUAAUUUGUUUUCAGUUUUCACACAGAUAAAUAACUUAUCAGUUAUGUAAAUGUCAAUGGUGGUAGUUAAUUUUAUUCUUUCAUUAAUCGUGGAUACAAUUUAGUGGGUAAAAAGAUAAUUGUUUAAGGGUUAUUUAGGAAUUAAAUUAGGCCACGCCAAAAGAGUAUAUCCCCUUUUAUCUAUAGGUAUAGAAGAUAGUGAAUAUUAAAAUGCAAGAUGAAGUCUCAACUUUAAAAUUCUUUAAGGCAAAGGCAAGUAAAUUACGUCAUAAAAAUGGAUUUGGUAACAGAAAAGAAAUAAAUAGUUAAAAUAUAAAUAUGGAAGUAAGUAAUUAGAAAGAAUCUAUAUCGUGUUACUUACAUUUGCAAUACUCUUCAGUUGUCGAUCUGCUCAGGAAUCAUUCUCCUAGUUUCUCUAAGACAACACAUCAAGAAUUAUGUUCAUCCAGUGUUCCCUUAUCCCAAGUCUCUUUUGUUUCUCUGUUUUAGAUAUUGAAGUAAUAGGGAAAGAAAAAUGUUACAUAAAGAUUAUCUUUCACACAUGAUAAAUUUAUUGGAAGGUAAAAAGGGAAAAACUAACCAAAAUAGAGAAAUCGGCUAAGCAGAUGUUAUUUCUUUAGAGGAAAUGGCAAUGAAAUUUUACAGUUAAAUAGAAAAGUAGGAAUAAGAAGGAAGUUAUAUAAUGGUAAUGUUGAAAGAAUAAAAAGGUCCGAGCAAAAGGCUAAUUUUAAAUGUAGGUAUAACAUUUCAUAGGUGCUUUAAAAACGGGCCUUCUAAAGAACCAAAAGGCUAAUUAUCCAUAAGUACUAUUUAUUAGGUGGAGCGCAGUAAAAUUUAUUAGGUGUCUGAUCUUAAAAUACUAUUGUUAUCAACUAGGAUGGUAUAAGAUCUUGUAGUACUUCUAAUAAAUUACCUAACAUUUUGAUCUUGUAGUUAUUUUAUGUAUAAUUUAUGUAUGUUAAUUACCUAAAAUAAGAAGUUUAAAUAGUAUUUUUAUUUUGACAAGUAGUAAAAGAUCUUGAUACUAAGUAAAGAUCUUAUACCUAGUAUUUUAAAUAGUAUUUUACCAAGUAGGAUGGUAUAAAACUUCUUAUAUAUAACUUUUAAUAGUAUUUUAUUUCAAGAGUAGUACUUUUGAAUAUUACUUUAUGCAUAAUUAAAAACAAAGGUAUAACUUAGUAUUUGAACAAAAGGCUAAUUUGAAAACAAUAUAUCGACAACAAAGAAUGACUACUUCUUGAAAUGUUCUCAUCAACUUAUUUUUAUAUAACACUACGUGUCCGUUUGUCCAUUUUUUUUAGUGUGCACACGGAUCAAAAUAUAAAUGAGUAUUUUUUAUUUUAAUUUACUUUAUAAAAGAUUUUAAUAAGUGUUUCAUCAAAGUCUUUGUCUCAUUUUCAUGUUAUUGUUAUUGAUCUUAGAUGUGUUCAUGAUCUAAUUACAUGUGCAUUUUUUUAAUCGACCUCGGGAAAGUAGAGUGUAAUAUUUCAUUGAUUAUAUGAUCUAAUAUUUUAUUUUAAUACAUGUUAUAAUAUCUAGAAACAUAUCAUCAUGUAAACGUUAAUUUAAAUCAAAGAUAAAUAUUUAAGAAAAUAUUAACAACAAAUAUAAUAAAUAAUAAAACAUUUAACACAAACUAAAACUAAAAUGCCGCUCUUCAUCAGUUUUUUUAAGGUUUAUUCUAUUUUAAAUAAUAAUGUUUUUUAAGGUUUAUUCUAUUUCAAAUAAUAACAACCUUUUGACAGCAAUUAUUUUAAAAGUUUUGAGUAGCCUAUGUCAUUUUUUAGGACAUUUCUUUUUCAAUAGGUUUUAAUCUAACAUUCUUUUGAAAAAUUAAACAAUAAAACAUAAGAGAGUUGAAAUUAGAAAAAAAAAUUAAAAAAUAUAAAUUAUAAGUAGAAUAAUUUACACAAUAUUCUUCUUUAAAGAUAUUAAUUUAAUGUAGAUCUUCUUUACCUUUCUUAUUUUAUGAUAGCAAUUUUUACUAAUCUUGUAUAACAUGAAUAUUUUCUUAAAAUAAAAUAUAUAUUUUUAAACUAUUACAGUAUUCCGGGUAUUUUUCUUGAAAAAUCUAAAAAACAAAUAUAAUAAAUGACGUUAGCACGUUUUUCUUUGGCUGACCAAUAAUGAUGGUGAUUUAAAUAUAUACACCAUUUAGAUAUAAACAAUAAUUGUCAUGGUGAUUUUUAAUAUACGAACAAAAUUAAUUGUCACCAUUUUUGUUCAUUAAAAUAUAAAUUAUCAACAUCAUUUCCGUACAAAUUUAGAAACUAUCCUAAAAUAGACACAAAAAUAUAUAAACCUAUUAGAUUUUAUUAGAUUUAAUUCAUAUUUAAAUUGUAUUAUUUUCUUAGCCCCUAAGUUUGUUAGAGGGUAUUUUAGUAUUUUAUCCUAUUGUAGUAACCCUAGUUUUAGCUUAUAAAUAGGGUGGAUCAUUGUAACUUUUAUCAUGUUUUGUAAGCCGCAUUCUUUAAGAUAUUCAUUUUCAUUCUACCUUUGCAACCAACAAUGUAUCUUCAGAGCUCCGGUUCGGAUUUAUGGAAACACUUGGGAACAGAUGUUGACGUGAGGCUCUGUGUGUUUUUUUGAUAUCUUUAGAUUCGUGCUUAAUUCUGAGACAAUCUAGGAUCAGAAUUUUAAUUCUUGGGUGGGAAAUCACUGUGUUGAGACAAUCUGAGUGUACUGUGCAGUAGAAGGAUGAACGGAACGCCAUGAACAGCCAACUUCAGCUUAUUUGACGGUAAUAAACUGGAUCGUUGGAUGUCCAAAUGCGUUGUAUUGUUCGGUGUCGUCAAGAUGUCCUAGAUCUUGUUUCACUGAUAAUGGUUAUGUUCCGUAGAAGCAGAUGAUGACGGCAUGAACAGAAAAACGCGCAGUAAGGAUAAGGAAGAAAGGAUCUAGAAGCAUUUUUUUCAUUCAUUCAAUGUGUUGCUGAGUAAAUGUGUUUGAGAUAUUGCAGAUUCAACGCACAGCAAGCGAUUCGGCUGGGAAACUGGUUAGAUGUUAUGGUGGUGACGCUCAGUGAGAAGGUGAAGCUUCAGUCCUUGAGGCAAUAUGAGAAUAUCAACAGAGAUAUGAGAAGUUUCUGAAUACAAUCUCCAGAGGUGAUAUCUGAUCACUAUGAUGAGAAAAGGGUGGAGAAACUCUUUCUUGAAAACAAUCAUGGAGAAGGUAAUUGAGAUCCCUACCUCUCAUUGAUUACAUUGUGGUGAGCAAUGGAUAUUCAUCAAAGGAUAUCUUUUGAGCCCAUAGAGAAUGAAUAGCUGCAGGCAGCUUAGAGGCCAAGAGUUGCGUUUGAUUAGAGAACUUCUUGGAAAGGAAGUAUGGCGCAGGCUCGAAGCAACUGUCUUGAGGAGGCGUAUCAGGAAGCAGUCAGAAGGCCAGGAGAAGAUUCUGUGGGUCAGAGUCAGAAAGCUCAACCUCGAUAGACAAAGAAUGCUCAGAGGGAAAGAGAAGUUUUGACAAGAAGAAAAUCAUGUUAUGCUGUAAGAGUUGGUUCAGUUUUGCUAGAGAUGUUGGUCCAAAGAAUAGAGACGAAAUCCAGAUGACCUCUAAACAGAUGAGAGUUCUGUGCACGAUCGGUGCUAUUGAGGCCCUGAAAAUCUGAUAUAUGGAUCUAAUAGACUCUGGUGGUAUAUGGACACUGCUGCUCAAUUCAAUCUUACUGAAAACAGAAGGAUGCUUUGUCUGAAGAAGACAUGGAUGCUAAGACAAAGAUGAGGCUGGACAAUAUUCUUAAUGCAGAAGUAUGGGAAAAUGUCAGAGUGACUACUGAACACAUGGGAGAAACAGCAUUGAUCAGAGUGUAGGUAUUACUCUGCAUCAGAAGCUAAUCUGAUAGUGUGGACCGUUAAUUGAGAAGGUUUUUCAGUUACCAUGAAGGACAAUUCUUCUGAAGCUGUAUGACUUCAAUCGAAGGUUGAUUAUUGGGGUCAGACACGGAGGAAUAAUAACAUAUCAAGGCGAAUUUGAACUGGAUCAGAAGGUUCUUUGGACAGUGCGAGGAUGAGCAUUGUUGCAAGCAAGAUGGUUCUCUUGAAAUUCAGAGCUUAAAAAUCUGAUUCAAAGAAGUUGGUACAUGGAAUUCCUGAAUUAGAAGCCUGAAAAGUCAUGCAAAGUUUGCAGGAGGAAACAACAUUCGACUCAAUUGCCAUUUGCGUAGAACUUGCUCCAAGAGCAAACAUGCCUUGGAGUUGUACAUUCUGAUGUGUGUGUUCCAUUUCAGUAGCCAUCGAUUGAGGGAAUAAAUAUUUUGUUUAUUUUUGAUGGAUUCACAAGAAUGACUAUGGGUAUCCAUUAUAAGUUUUAAACACGAGGGUGUUUGAUGAAUUCAAGAGUUCAGAUGGAAGGCUGGAGAAUCUGAGUGGUCAGAAGUUGAAGAUUUCUAUUAAACUUGACGGUUGGCGGUGUAGUAUAACUCCAAAAGAGUCUCCAAAAGUAUCUGUGAGGAGAAUGGAAUUGAGCAUCGAGGUUACUGCUCCUAUAUACCCUCAACACACAAUGGUCUGCUGAAAGAAGAAAUGCACUUUGCUUAUAUGGUGAGAACAUGCUAAGAGAAGAAGCUCUCAACUCUGCGGGAGACAGCUUGUUGCCACUGGCAACGUAGUACUCAACCGAUGUUCCUUCGAAGAAGUGAGGAAAUGUAUCCAAUACAGAAGUGUGCUGGACGAUAAGCAAGUGGUUCAUCUAAGGGUGUUUGUUCUGUUUGCUAUAAACAUGUUCCAGAGCAGAAACAGAGGCGGAUGGAUAGAAGCAAAGUGAUGAUUCUAGAUAGGCGUACCACAGUACAGGUGCAUACAGCUCUAUUGUCAGAAGAAUCCAAUAAAUAUGAUAUUCAAGCAGAGAUGUAUGUGAAGGAAUCGAGUUUGCGACAUUGGGUAGAGUUCAUCUGGAUCUUGAUAGUUAAACUGCUGAAGAAAGCGAUCAGAGUUCAGAAUUUCUGAGGUUGGAGUAAACUCUGACGCUUGAUUCUGACUUGGAUUAGUGAUCCAGAAUCUGAUGUUCCAACUCUGAUUGUUCCAGACCUCUGAUGUUUUCAGAUCUUAUGAUCCAGACUCUGAACUCAGACUCGUUGGUAUCCAAUUCGUGGCAAUCAGAUUUGGAAAUAUGCAGAACCAUUAGAUGGUCAAAGCUCUGGAGGAAGUAACCAUUGAAGGAUAGAAACUCUGAAGUUGAAGACUCUGACAAAGUUCAGAGACCACAAAGGUCAGCAACAGAUCCCCAGAAGAUAUGCCAAAUUGACAUGCGCAAGGACCUGAAGUAGACUCUGAAGGAGAAGUUAUUCGUUGUGCUGCUUGGUAGAUCUCUCUGAACCUAAGUAUACAGAGAGGGCUCUUAAGCAAAGCUUCUGGCUUGAAGCAGGAAAGAGAGACACUGAUUGCUAUUAGAGAGGAACAAGACUUGGAAGUGACAGAAACUUCCAAAGACAAGAAGUCAUCAGCGUCAGAUGGGUUUUCAGCAGAAGUUAAAGCCAGAUGGGUAUCAUAUGGCCAAACAUAAAGCAAGGUUGGUAGCAGAAUUUCUACAGACCUGGGCUGGAUUUACUUCUUGAUGUUUGCACCUUGUAGCAAACAUGGAACAAUCAGAAUGGUGAUGUGCAAGCCUGCAACAGUAAUUGCCUCUGGAAUUUAGAUGUAAAAUCUGCAUUUACUGACGGUUCAUUAGGAAGAAGAAGUUACGUGUCACAACCUCCUGAUUGUGUUGAACAAAAACAAGGGAUGGUUGUACAGAUAUAUACAAAGCCUAAUAUGGUUGAAAAGCGCCAGAGCUUGUGAAAGAAGAUUGAUUUCUUUUUUCAAGAAGCAAGCUUUCAGAAUGUGAGGGAGUAUGGUGGCUAUGUUCGCAUAUUACUGCUAAGGAAAUUGACUCUGGUAUGUUUAUAUGCUUGAUGAGAUACUAACUGCUGAACUGGAUGUUCUGAACAGGAGAUAGGCUAAGUUCACAAAGUUCUGAUGAAUGAUUCGAAUGACUGAAUGUUAGGCAAAAUGACAUUACUUUCUAUGCAUGGUGAAGUCCAGAUAGCUCUGAGAUAGUGUAUUAUUUGCAUCAGCUCAAGUAUGAUAUUAGAAAUUCUGAGAGAUUUGAAUUAGGAAGUUGGUAGAUUGUGUCACACCUUCUAUACAGAAACAAGAGGCUGAUUCGACUCUUCAGGAAAUGUCAGGGAAUGUGGACGCUACAACUCCUUCAAACAGUUAGUGGUUCUCUGAGGUAUUUGUGCAACAAUACCAGACAUAUUUGCUAUUCAGUUGGGAUGUUAGUAGGUCUCUGAGUAACUAAGUGGUCCCAUUACCAAGCUGCAGUCAGUAAUUCUGGAGUAUUAUCAAGGGAACUCUCAAGUAUGGAGUUUAUGUCCUUGGAAGAAAGGAUGGGUCAGGAAUUCUGAGUUAAUUCAGAUUCUUGAUAUUGGUUGUGACGACAGAGUACAGAAAAGAUCGUCGUGCGGUACUUAUUCAAAUUCGGGAGGUCCAAUUCUUGGUGUUCAGAAGCACCUGUUGUGGCGUUGUCAACUGUGAAGCUGAUAUAUAUGCAGGUGCUUGUACUGCAUGCAAGCUGUGUAUUCUGAAUCUAUUGGCAGGAUCUUGAAAUUUAAAGUAAACAAACCUCUGAAAGCUGUGAUUUGAACGACAACCAAGUCUGCAAUUCAAUCUUCAAGAAACCAGGCUGCAUUGAGAGAGCAGACAUGAACCAAGUAUAUUCUCUGAGAAAUCAAGUUCGAGGGAGUGUAUGUAGGGAGUUCGAUACACCGCACGACAUAGAAAGCAUGUCGCAUGAUUUCUGACGGCAAGUAUCAGAUGGACCAAUUCUCAUAUCUAAGAAUGGAUGGUGUUACAAGUUUGAUGCAGAAUAUGAAUUAAGGGAUGGUAUUAGAUUUUAUUAGAUUUAAUUCAUAUUUAAAUUGUAUUAUUUUCUUAGCCCCUAAGUUUGUUAGAGGGUAUUUUAGUAUUUUAUCCUAUUGUAGUAACCCUAAUUUUAGCUUAUAAAUAGGGUGUCAAUCAUUGUAACUUUUAAUCAUGUUUUGUAGCCGUCAUUCUCUUAAUAGAAUAUUCAUCUUUCAUUCUACCUUUGCACCAACAAAACCAUCAUAGAAUACACGUUCAAAAAAUAUAUAAACCAUCAUAAAAUAGAAAUAAACCCGCAUGAUCGAAAAUCACCACAUGAUCAAAAAUCAUCAUCAUUAUCCGAUCAAUAAUUAUUAAGUAUUUUUCUGCAAUUCAUGCACACAAAAAAGAUUUAUACUAUAAUGGUUGUAAUUAAAUAAAACAAAUUUAAUUUAAUUUAAUGAUUGUAAUUAAAUUAAUUAAAUGAUUUAUAUAAUGAUUUUUUAACAUGUUGAUAAAUCAGACUCUAAUGGUUGUAAUUAAAUAAAAUAUAUGAAAUUAAUAAAAUAAAAUAAAAACUCAAACCACUUUUCAUUGCCUUGCUGUUCCUUCUUCUUCCGGCCACAUGAUUGCCACCAUUGAUUGCAUUCUUAACCGCUACCAGGCCAAUUAAUUGGCGCCGUCACUACUCGUCGUACCAUUGUUAGGUCGUUAUGCUAUUUUGUUUACAAUUGUAUUGUAGUGUUGUCUACAUAUAUCGUGGUCUUGUUGGAUUACCAUUCUCAAUCACAAAUCAAUACAUUGAAAAAGAAGAGAUUGGAAUUGUGGAUUGUUGUAAUUUAUUAAAUACAAGUGUGUUCCAAAAUGACAAAUGGUGGAAGUGAGUUAAUGCUAAUAAAUGCCUGAGAUAACUCUUCAUGAAUUUUGAAUUUUGAAUUCGGAGAUUGUAACUCUUCAUGAGAUGUUGCAAAGGCGAAACCAUGCAACUGUUGGUGAAACAUGCUGCAGGCCAACCAUAAUGAUUAUUGGAAAAGGACAUUGCUUCACCAAGGGUCACUACCUUGUGAAACAAUAUCAACAUGGCCUAUAAAAGCAUAAAUCCGGAUUCAGAAUACAACACACAAAAUCCGAAAAUCCUCUAAAUAAUUCCAGACGCUCUUCGUUGCAUUCGGGUUUUCGCCGGUCUUGCGCAAACUCGAUAAGGCUGAAUUAUCCUAGGUAUUCCUGCAUCAUAACUCUAAGACAAUCGAGAGUGCUUGAAAUACUAUAAGGAAAGUGUUGCGUUCACGAUUCAAGCUUGGAUCCCUUUAAUCUUUCCGAAAUUUCUAACAGUCUUAUAGUAUUUUCAAAUAAUGGUUAUCAAGGCUUCAGUUUCAAGCAUCAAAAAGAAAAACUUAAGAAAGAACACAAGAAGAAUCGGUAUUACGAAAUCUGGUAUGAUUUUAUUAUUCUUCAUAUUAAUUAGAGCACCGUGAAAAUCAUGAUAUCAAGAUCUAAAUAUAAAAUUUUUCUAUCAAUUAGGAUCAGAGUCAGAUUAUUGAUAUUGUGAUUUUUUUAUAAUAACAAAUUGAUAUGAUUUUGAAUUAGAUUUCUUUAAUAACUAUAGUAUUACUUAAUUUAAUGGUUUUCAUGAUUUUUAAUAGAAAAGCAAUAUCUGUAUCAUGAUCUUCCAUUUGUUGGACAAAUUAUUACAUAUUGAUGGUUGAAUGAUAUGCAUUUGACAAUACAUGAAUAAAUCAUGAUUACGCAAUUAUAUUAUACUUGAUUAUGUAACCUAUUUUCCAUAUGAAUAGAAAUUGAAGGGUCUUGGACAUAAUAGGAAGAAAUAUGUACAUUUCCACAUCGGUAUUGUACAUAAUAGAAAAGUUUUCAUUCCAGUAUGGGAUAUNNNNNNNNNNNNNNNNNNNNNNNNNNNNNNNNNNNNNNNNNNNNNNNNNNNNNNNNNNNNNNNNNNNNNNNNNNNNNNNNNNNNNNNNNNNNNNNNNNNNNNNNNNNNNNNNNNNNNNNNNNNNNNNNNNNNNNNNNNNNNNNNNNNNNNNNNNNNNNNNNNNNNNNNNNNNNNNNNNNNNNNNNNNNNNNNNNNNNNNNNNNNNNNNNNNNNNNNNNNNNNNNNNNNNNNNNNNNNNNNNNNNNNNNNNNNNNNNNNNNNNNNNNNNNNNNNNNNNNNNNNNNNNNNNNNNNNNNNNNNNNNNNNNNNNNNNNNNNNNNNNNNNNNNNNNNNNNNNNNNNNNNNNNNNNNNNNNNNNNNNNNNNNNNNNNNNNNNNNNNNNNNNNNNNNNNNNNNNNNNNNNNNNNNNNNNNNNNNNNNNNNNNNNNNNNNNNNNNNNNNNNNNNNNNNNNNNNNNNNNNNNNNNNNAAUUGAUAUGAUUUUGAAUUAGAUUUCUUUAAUAACUAUAGUAUUACUUAAUUUAAUGGUUUUCAUGAUUUUUAAUAGAAAAGCAAUAUCUGUAUCAUGAUCUUCCAUUUGUUGGACAAAUUAUUACAUAUUGAUGGUUGAAUGAUAUGCAUCUGACAAUACAUGAAUAAAUCAUGAUUACGCAAUUAUAUUAUACUUGAUUAUGUAACCUAUUUUCCAUAUGAAUAGAAAUUGAAGGGUCUUGGACAUAAUAGGAAGAAAUAUGUACAUUUCCACAUCGGUAUUGUACAUAAUAGAAAAGUUUUCAUUCCAGUAUGGGAUAUGGAAGUUCAGCGGUGCUUUUGGUUGUUGCUGUAACCGGAGGAAAUGAAAAAAAUGAAAAUCGUGAAUGUUCGUAGGAUCAUUGUUGGUGGUGGUCCAAUUUGUGAUAAACUAAAUCCUAGAACAAUAAAAUAGAGGAAGAACAAAGAACAUAGUUCAAGAACGGGUGAAUUUGGUAACGACCUUGGGACCCUCAGAGACAACGUGUAUAAUCAAUUCACUGGUAAGAAAUAUAAUUGUAGCAAUAAUAAUUAGACUAAUAUCACCUAAAAAAUAGACAAUUGAAUAGAAAAGAUAUUUACACUUUAUAUAUGUUCACCACCAUGUUAGAAUGUCUCACAAUUCUUGUAUGUAGAAUUUCUUCAAUGUUACUCACUCUCAAUUUUUGUGGGCAAUAAUUUAUUUGGGAAUGAGUGAAAAUUUAUUGGUUUUGUGUUAUAAAUGAUGGAAGUUAUUAACUUUUGAAUCCAUCUUCUCAGUAACGGAUGGAAGUUACUAACAAAACUAUCUCUUUAUACAUAAUUAUAGUUUUUUUUUAUUUAUAAAAAAAAUGAAGAUAAAGGGUAUUUUAGGAAGUAAAAUAGGUCACUCCACAAGGAUGUAUCCCCUUUAUAUAUACUAGCGUCCAAACGGGCACUCCGUGCCCGUUUGUCCGCUUUUUUUACUGCGCUAAUGCGUGAAAAUAUUAAUAGCGUCUUUUUUUUAUAUAUUUGAUUUUAAUAUAAACUAUUUAUAUGAUGAAUUAUAUUGGUAUUUAUUCAGAUUUAUAGAUUUAUUCCCUUUCCUUUAUAUAGGUUUUUUUGUAACCAAAUUAAGUCACUCCAAAAUGUAUUUUGUAAAUGUAUGUUAUUAUUGGAUACUAACAUACAUGUAUUCCAAUGAUAUUUGUUCAAUAAAUGUAUGUUACCUAUAUGUGCAGUUGGUAAGUGUAUGUCUCUGCAGUUGGUAAUAAAUAUACUUCCGUGUCCGUUUUGGUAAUAUAUAAAAGUAUGUCUUGAUUAAUAAAAGUAUGUCCUAAUAAACAUACAUUGGAUUUAUAUGCUCAUUAGACAUACAUUGGAUUUUAGUAACAUAUAUUUAUAUAAAUCUAUAUAUGCAGUUGAACAAAUAUUUAUUACCAACUGCAUAGACAUACUUUUAUUAAUCAAGACAUACUUUUAUUACCUAUAUGUGCAGUUACCUAUAUGUUAUAAAUUAUUACCAACUGCAUAGACAUACUUUUAUUAAUCAAGACAUACUUUUAUUACCUAUAUGUGCAGUUACCUAUAUGUUAUAAACGCUAAAAGCUCCAAAAUAACAUAGGUUUAUAAUAACAUACAUGCAUUCCCUUAAUUUGGUUAACAAUAAAUCACAUGAUCCAAAAUAAAUGUAUUUCCUUUUUUUUAAUCGGUAUUUUAUUUACUUGCAAUGGCCUAAUUUUGUCCGUUUUUUUCAAUGCGCACAGCAGAGAAAAAUAAAUGUUUAUUUUUCUUUUUAUAAGGUUUGUAUUGUACGUCAUAUUAAAAAUAAUAUUAUUACACUUUGAAAAUGAUAAACAAAGAUAUUCAGAAUUAUAUUGAAUCAUGCAAAAUACUAUUGGUAUUGUGUAAUCAAUGACCUUCUUUAAAAG